CUUGAUGAUAGCUCCAUCCACCUCCAACUGUUGCAAAGUUUGUCUUUAUUUUCAUUUAUAUUAUACUUUCUUCUUUUUUUUGUAGCUAUUCAUGGUGAUCAUUCCGGCAGCACUACAUCUCUUUCCAUUGACUAUUCUUGCAGCAGCAAGCUUAUUUAUGGUGACCCAAUUGGCUAUACCACCUCUUUGGCAAUGACCAUUCCAUCGACAAUACGCCUUAUUUCCAUCAUUCUCACAGCACCACUUCUUCCGGACCACUACUCCGACCAUUGUUAUUGCACAACAUUCCAACAUGAUAAUAAGAUUUCAUCGACAGACUUUUCUGCGGCAAGUUUACCAACGAUAACUCAGUGAUCGUUUAUUUUUUUUCUUUGUUGCUAAAAUAAACAAACUCAAGUUGGUCUCUCUACCUAGAACUUAAGGGAUGCAAAGUAUAUAAGGAUCUUCAAAUUAGUGAUAAGUUUUAGUAGUAAAUUAGUGCGUCAUAUAAAUUAUAUACAAUCCCCACUAUCCUCAUCAAAUAAUCAAACGCCAAAACUUUCUUAUAGCUUUCCACCCCUGAUGCCCAAGGUGUUGCCUCCUGUAAGAUAGUUCCUUCACAUCACACAUCAUUCCAAAACUAACAAUUGCCCUUUUCCACCGUGCAAGUGAAUGAGUCCAGAGGUGUAUCCAGGAUUUUGGGAUGAGUACACUAUUAUGAAAAUGUGGAUCUAAUCGGUUUGACAUUUAUGUUCUUAUCAUUUAAACCGGUUAAAAUUUUAAAUUAUAGUUCCAAAAUUGAAAUGCUUAAUAAAUUAAAACGACAAAAAGUGCUAUCAAUAACCACUUAGAGAGAUGUUACCAAAUUUUAGAAAGAAAAAUAAAACAAGAUAGAUAUAAAAGUCAAAUUCCUAACCUCACUGAGAGGUGCACCCAAUCAUCGUCGCAUUAUAUGAUACUUCAAGUAUGGGUUCACACAUUUAUAUUUAACAAAAAAUUAAAAUAUAUAACACUACUAUAUAUGAUUUCGGGAGGGGAGCAUGGGUUCACGUGAACCUGGGGACCCCCUCCUGCAUACGCCUCUACGUGCAAUCAAUAUGCUUUAAGAACUUGUUUCCCUCAUGAUCCCCUUUCAUACACACAUGGAACAUCUAGUCUUCGCUACUCCAAGUUUCACAGUUUUAUACUUCUCCAUAAUGUAAUUUUCCUCUAGGAUGAAUAUACACAACAACUACCCCAAGAGUGCCAAUUGAAAGUAAAGUUACUCCUAGCCCCCCAUCUCUUAUGAGACCAUCAUCUCCCUCUAUAUCAGACUCUCCCAUCCCUCUUCUCCCCGAUGAGAAGCCCCUCAUCAUCUUGUUCUAUCCAUCUCAACUUAGUAUGUUGCCUCUAAAUUUUCUACAUUAGCCAGGGCCCUUUAUCCAAAACGGAAAAGUAAAGCAGAAAAGUAAAAUAAGAGAAUUUAUGUCCGCCCUCAAGAAAUUGUGUUUUGUGUACUGAGGAUAAAAUGAAUUUUGUGAUAGCCUAAUCGUUAUUGAUAGCAAAACAUUCGUGACAAAACCAAAAUGGAAAUAUCUCAAAGCUGCAAGUUCAAUCUAAUAUAGAAUGCAGAACUUCUAUGUAACAAAUUAAGAAAGUUACCUGAAUUGUUCCCACAAGUUCUUUGGAAGAAAAUUCCAUACAGUAUAUUUUCUGUUUGAGAUCCGGUUGUCACAGUAAAUAUUGUUUGACAAAUCAUCAUCAUCAAUAUAAACAAAACGCUUCAUUGUUGACCUGUAUGCCCUUUUUCAUGUAAUAGAUGCUGACUUUGAGGUUAAAGCAGCAGUUAGUAUCCUUUGGGUCUAUUCAUUACCAAAGAAAUAGAAUUGUACCUGCAAAAUUGACAAAAGUGAUUAGGCUAACAAUUACAUUACAAAAACAAUAAGCAAUUGUAAGGAAGAGAUUGGACAAUGAUCACAAAACACUAACAACCAGAAAAUCUGACGCAUCCAAUUCCAGAUCAUCUUCCAUGGCCAACCUUCCUUGGUUUCAGUUGAGAUAUCCAGUAGCUUGUAUGCUGAUUUCACCUUGAACUUGCCAUCUUUAUCCAUCUUCCACAACAAUCUAUCUUCCUCAAAAUUAAGGCUCUUAGCUUGUUCCAAAGUAUUGUAGAAUUGGAUCAUUCUCUCCACUUCCCAGUCAUUGAGGAAUCUUCUGAAGGACAGAUUCCAACCUUGUGCAUUUUUGAUCUGUGAGAUUGUAGCUAGCUUCUGUUGAUUAAGAUUAUAAAUGUCCGGAAACUGUUGCCUUAAAGGUGUUUGCCCCACCCAUACAUCAUUCCAGAACAAGGUCUUUCUGCCAUUGCCCACUUUGAUCACAGUAUUACCCCACAUUUUUGGCCAUUGAUUUCUGAUAGUUCUCCAUAGUCCCAUUUCAUAAGGAAUUUUAACUUCCUGAGUAGUCCAUGGUCCUUCCCUACCAUAUCUUGCAAUGAUGAUGUCCUUCCACAGGCCUUGCUCAUCUGCUGCCAGUCUCCAUAGCCAUUUUAGCAGAAGACUCUUGUUUUGUGCUUUCAAGUUCUUAAUUCCUAGACCUCCUUCUUUUUUGUUGGUUAUAGCAAUCUCCCACUUGAUCAAGUGAUGCUUCUUCCCCCCUUCACCAUUACCUUGCCAAAGAAAGUUUCUUCUGAUAGCAUCCAACUUUUUGAUGAUCUUUCCAUGAAUUGGAAAAAGGAUAGGUUGUGUAAUUCUGGAAAUAGGUAUUUCAGUGUAUCCCCAACUUAGUUAUCAUUCCAAAAGGAUAUUUUCCUUCCAUUACCAACUUUGAAUCCCACUUUAAGAAUACCUUUGUAUUGUUCUAACCCAACAUAAUGUCCAUUCACUCCCUUUGGGUCCUUUUGAUACCUAACUCAAUAAUUCGUCUUUUAAGACAAUUUAAGGUUCUCUACAACUAGAGGUUCUCUACAUUUUCUAAAGGUAUAGAAAUCACCAAACAAGAAGGGGAGUGUUAGCACAACAGAAAGGGUUCUCUCCGUGAGACCAGGAGGUCACAGGUCCAAGCCAUGGAGACAGCCUCUUACGGAAAUGCAAGGUAAGUCUCUGCCUACAAUUAACCCAAUGUGGUCUAACCCUUCCCUAGAUCUUGGGCAUAGCAGGCACUUAGUGAUUGAGUUGCCCCUUUUUAAUACAAAUCUCUAAGAAAACAUCUAAAGAUCAAUAAGCUAGCGACUAAGAUUUGAUACAAAUAUCAAUUCACUAAAAUGAGUACUACUCUCACAUAAGGGCAAAACAUACACAUUUGAGUAAAUUCUACGUUGUAUAUCUACUCUUUAACAGCAAAAGAAUAUUGUUAAUAAAAUUGAUUCCCACUAACACCUUAACAGAUGCAUCCUGCAUCUAUCAGCAGUUAACUUAUUUUAACUUACCAUGUCCAAGGCACAGGAUUUCAAUACAACCUUAGGAAAAACACACCUAUGUAGACCAUCAUAAAGACAGAUAUUUGUUCAUAUUCCACUUGCAUUCCGCACCAAUCAUCAUGCUUAUAUCUAAGUAAGAAAACAUUUGAAGGACUGUGGUUUACUCAGUAUACGUUUUUUUAUCUGCCAACUUGAACAAGCGAAGAGUUCAAAUUCUAAUUCUGCUUUAGCAUCCGAACAUGGAGGAAUCUAAGACGCAGGCCACAAAAUGUAUAAAAGUAAUGAUCACGAUAAAAAAAGAAAGAGGCAAAUACACAAGAAUAGAAGUACAAAUGGGAUAAGAAACGGCAUUUCAACAAGUGUAUACUGUUCAAACCUGUACGUGUAUGAUGCGCCAAUCUUGCAAAAUCUUUCCAAGUUUACGCCUUUGCCACGAAAUGUUGGUACAAAGAACUCGAAGCAAAGUGAUUAACAACUGUUUUAGACAAAAGCAUGUUUUUAAUGGUGACAGAUCUCAUUAAAUAGACUAGGCAAAAGGAAUUUGAUCAAAGCAGAAACCUAGCCAAUUAGGCGACAAAUAAAACCCAAAACAGAUCAGUUUGACAUUUUACGAGUACCAAUAGGCACAGAAAAAUUUGAGGAUAGAUUUUUUAUCAGAAGCUCUGGACAUAGAAAGUCUCCCUUUAAUAAACUCAUGCUUACUUGCCCAAGCUGUACAACAGUUUCGUUCUUCUGAAUAUCAUGGUUCUUCGCCACCUCAGGUAACAAAGAAGCUUUACAAAUCACAGCAAAGACAGAGUCACGCCCAUAAAGCUUCCCAUCUUGAACCAGCAAAUGCUGUUGAUUAGUCUUUCACAUGAGAAUGUCAUUGAGAAAAGAUAAAAUAUAUCUUAAAGUUCAACAAGUUAAAAAAAAUGAACUUGGAUCACAAAUUCUGCUACAUACAAUAGAAGAUUAGAAGGCAAAUCAUAACCAGUAUAUGAGCCAUAAGUUAUGAACCCUCAACCCCACAACCACCCCUCUGGACGGCUGAUGAAUGAAUAAUCUUCUGGUGACAUAUUUUUCUUCAUGUGAAUUCAGAUAGAAAAUAUCUUUGUUGAUUCUUGAUAACUCGAAAAGCUAAUGCCAACCUUUUGCACCAUAACUACAAGGCUUAUUCAGUCAUAAGAUGGCCCAAUAAUAACUAAAUAUUAUGCAAAAACAUUAACUAAAUUUAAACAUCUGAGUUCCCAAAAACUUGUAGAGAAAAGAUGAGCAUAAUAGCUUAACAGAGAUCCUUGUUCUGGGAUAAACUUCCAAUCACGUCAUCACCACAAAUACCAAGAUGCAUUAACAUGAAAAUGUGAGUUAUCCUCUGUGCAUAUGUUAGCAAAGUCAUUGACUUUGGGAGCAGAAAAAUAAAAACCUUCAAUCCUGUACAGUUCACUUCAUGGCUUAAUCACUAGGCCUAAAUUUAAGAAAUAACUUUUUCUGAACUCUACGAUCCAUACUUUGGGUCUAUACACCGACGGGCGACGAUGAUUUAGGAUUACAUAAAUACUUAGUAUUCCUCUCCCUGCACAAAUUCUUCUUUGGACUACAAGAGUAAAGACAGCAACUUAAUGUGGGAUGUUCUAAGAGUUGCCUACAUCAGCUUCCCAUUUCAGGGACUAAGUCAUUGAAUUAACAAGAUUAGAACAGGCAAAAUUGAUGUGCACAAUGUUCAUGAAUGGACGCAUGCAGAAUUUAUAUGUGCUAUAAAUUACCUGGAGAUGAGCUCUAGCAACCAAUUCUGGUUGAAACUUUUGAAACUCGACCACAAAUCGUAAAACACCUUCAAAGACUGGAUCUAAACUGUAGAAACAUAUGAUCUCUAGUUCAUGAAGAAGCUUUUGGAAAUAUUCAGCUGCCUGGUAGAAGAAUACAAACAUGAUUUGCUGUACUACUUGGAUCAAAGCAAGGUGCUUGUGUGCUUUUUCAUGCCUUACCUUCUUCCAGCUAAUUGUCUCGAUAGCACGAGGUGGAGUUGGAGCCGAUAAUCUACUAUUUAAGGUAGAAUCAAACCAUGUUGGGCCAGUGGGUCUGGGCCCAACAUUUUGAUUUCUUUUCCUUUUCCUUUAUGUUCCUCCAGGGCACGUGCCCCUUUAAAGAAUUCAAAAACUUUUGAAGACCCCACGUGAUUAUUCCUGCCCCCAGCUGUCAAGGGCGUGGAUUUCGCUGCCCCUCCCUUGGGUAUUACCUGCUGGAUCGAGACUUUGGCCCUCCCGUCACCUACGACCUCGAGGUCUUCUUCUCCGACGAAGAACCUCGUCGGUGUCUCAUCCCAUAUUUGUAAGAUAAAACCAUGCCCCCCGAAAGCUACCUUCACCUCCUUCGGAAUGGGCUUUUCGUUGUUUUUGACAAGAAUUCUUGCCCAUUUGAGGCGGUUGCGUAGUUCCGUCUCCUCCUUCUCCUUCGGAAUGGGCUUUUCGUUGUUUUUGACAAGAAUUCUUGCCCAUUUGAGGUGGUUGCGUAGUUCCGUCUCCUCCUCUGUUUUCACCCAACCCCCACAAAAAUCUCCUACUGCUUUGAACACAUUUUGUGACCACAGAUGUAGAGGGAGGCCCACCAAUCUGAUCCAAGAAUGAUUGAUUUUAGUUCUUGAUUGAGUUGCACCCACAGUCGGCGUCCACCAUUGUAGCCGUAUGCUCUGGUUCAUCCAUAGCCAUCUUCCUCUGAGAAUAUGCUCAGCAACAGUGAUGGAAGAGAAUUCAAAAAGGAAGUGAUUGUGUCCCAUCUCGUAGAUGUUGAUGCCAUGAGUUUGGGUCCAGUUUUUGCUCACCCAUCUACGAACUUCCGACAGGGUUGGGUUCUCAGUUCCAUUUUCUGGAAAUCUGCCAACGAGACUUCUCCCUAAGAGUUCAUUUUGAUUUUGGUCGGGUUCUCCGUCAAUAAUGAUGGUGUUUCCUUCCUCCUCUAUGAUGGCUGUCUCGAUCUCUCUAGAAGACCAUUUGCUCCUCCUGAUAGUUUCUGCAUAUGAUAUCUCUUUAUCAAACAUCUUGUAAUUCUUACUAGGUGUCUUAAAAGCUUUGUCAUUAAUGAAUUUUUCAAUUUUGGUGGCCAAGUCCCACCAACCAGCAUUGAAUGUGAUUUCAGGAAUUAUUAUUACAGCUCUGUUCUUUCCUUGUAUGUUGAUAAUGCUUAUAUAUCUCCCUUUGUUGUUAAAGUUCCUUGCACAAAAUACAUUUGACACAUGCUCCUGCCUUUUCCAUCUUCUGACUACGUUUCCUUUCACCUUUGACGCUUCCUUGAGAAUCGAACAAAUCCAUUCCAUCGUUUUUUGACUAAAGCUUGCUCUGCUCAUCAUUCUUCUUCCUUUCUCAGUCCAGUCAUACCAUGUCUCUGCUCGAGAUACAUCUCUUGCUACAUCAAAAGACUUGAAACCCAUUGCGAAAAAGAUCAUAUCUUCCUCCAUUUCAAGAAGUACAAGGGAAAGGAAAGGUUGGGAGUGGGAGAAAAGGGAAGAGAAAGAAAUAAAGGAAUGAGGAUUCCGGUGACAGAAGGUCGCCGGAGGGGGUUCUGCCCUCCUUCGUUAGGAUUAUUGCCGGAAAAGAAGAUUCUGAUGACCUGUGAAAACGAUUGGGGUCCCUCGCGACGGCACGUGAGGCGCGUGGCGUCGGAUUCUGAUGGAGAAAGGAGGCGCGUGGGAGCGCGUGAGAUGUUUUUUGAGGAUGGGUAUUUUUGGGGUAGGGUCGCAAUAGGGUGAAGGAGGUUGUGAUGGAGGCAAUUUGGAAGAAGAAAGAAAGAGAGAGAUGGAAUUCUGAUGGUCAGAAGGACCACCGGUGGGUUUUCUGGGUAGUGAGAUGAUUUUUAAAAGUUACAUCGGGAUUAGUGCCUGGGAGAAAAGUUAAGAUUGGCUGACAUAAUAGCGCAGACAGAAGUUAGUUCUCUUGAUUUUACUUUUAAAACAUAACCUUAUAAGCCCAUAGUCAUUUGGUGUUUUUCCAUUUGCCUUAGAUGUAUCCCAUAAGCUAGCGAGAGGUAACAAGAAUAAAUGAAUAGUAGAAAAUCUACCUCUACCUUCUGGAAGGUAGAAAAAAUCUAGUUUCCAUGGCAUCCCAUCAUCAUCACAUAAGGGAAUCAAGUGAGCUGUUGUGUAAUCAGCUAAGCGGCCAGAGUAACAUACAGCGAAUCCCAAGAAGUUAUCAGGUACGUACCAAUUUUCAGGCAAAUUGACUGAUACACUUUUAUCCAUUCCCCGAUGGUGGAACCAACUUGGGAUUUGCUGCAAGGAAAACUUAUUCCCACCAAGCACAAUGCUAAACACUCUUUGUGACAAGGAAACGAUUUCCUGAGAAAAGGUAAGUGGAAAUUCCAGUUCCCUCAUCACAUUUUCUAGCAUGUAAAUCUCCGACUCCACUAUCGUGUUUCUAAGGAAUUUUGGAAACUUUUCUAAACUAGAGCAACCCCGUAGACAUAAGUACCGAAGAGAAUCAAUGCACAGACCUGGAAACCUCUUAAGCUGUAUACAAUUAGUCAAUAUUAAUGUAUGGAGGUUUUUGAGAAAUCUUACGGAAUGAUGAACCUCUUCAAGAUUUUUACAAUAUGACAGAUUCAAAGUCUUCAAAUUCUGCAUCUCCAUAAAAUCUGGCAACUCUUUAAGCCUCUUGCAAUAUGAUAAGUCCAAGGAUUGAAGAGCACCAAGUUGGGCUAUGCUUCGAGGCAAAUGUUUAAAGUUAUUUCCACUGAGAUUCAACAUUUUCAAAGAGGAUAAGCAUCCAAUGUCUUCCGGAAGUCCUUCAUCAAUUAGAUUGCAGUAAUCGAGACGCAGAACAUCCAAUAAGCUUAAUCCUUCAUUCACCUGAGGGAACACAAAGAGAACUCUAUCUUCGAGGCCUACUUCUGAUUUUUGAAAAGUCAAGGAUUUAAGCUUGUUCAAGCGGACAAUGGAAGACGGAGGUCGUGAAAUUUGAGUGAAUGUGGCAUGAAGCUCCUUCAAGUUUUCUAAAUCACCUAUCUCUUCUGGAAAGCUUUCAAGUUUUAAGCAGUACGACACAUUUAGCUCCAUCAAACCUUUCAACUUACAAAUGCUGCUCGGAAGAGUUACAAGGUUUUCCAGAGAACUCAAAUCUAGCUUGGUAAUAUGAGUUAGGUACUGAAUAGAUGAUGGUAGUUCCCUUAUCCCAGAACGUUUCACCUUAAUUUCUAACCCCGGCUUGAUUCUUCCGAGGAUUUCUGGAAAUUCCUCUAAACUAGAGCAACCAUAUAGGUAUAGAGAUUCAAGCGACUCCCCAUUAACACAUGGAAACUUCUUAAGGAUUUUACAACCAUCCAAAUCUAACUCAAUGAGUUUACUGCAACAUCCCAGGGAAUGGUGAACCUCUUCAAGACUCUUACAUUCCAUCAGAUUCAAAUACUCCAAAUUUGGCAUCCCCGUGAAAUCUGGUGUCCACCUCAGGCUUCCAGAAAAGCUGAGAUUUAGCUUUCGUAGAAAUGGCAAAUGCUGUUAUAUGUUCAGAACACAGAAAGAAUGAGAUAGGAAAACAGGAACAACCAGGCAUCUAUGGUCACUAGAAUAGUUAAGAUGUCUAUCUGACAGUUGUAGUCAGUUUUGAGUGUCUGUGAGUAUUUGACCAAAAGAAAAAUAAAUUGAAUUCAGCAAUUGUACCUUUGUUCCAAUCCAUAAAUGAUGCAAAAAACUGUACUGGAGAUCAAGAUGAACAAGUCCUUUAGGUUCAAAAUUUUCUCGCAAUGAUUCCCAAGGAUAUCCAUGCCAAUCAAACCAACACAAGCUGUUGGGCAGGUACUCAAUGGAGUCAUCAUUUGCUAACGCGAACAGUUGGUCAGGUACAAAAUGACCGAUGUGUAAUAUUCUUAGCUUUAUCAUUUUUUUCAUGGCUUUUUUGCUAAAGCGUAGCUUUUGAAUACGUUGUAGCCAGAUUGCUUCCAUAGAUUUUGUCCCCUGAUAAAAGGAUCAUUAGUCUACAAAGUAAAACUUCAAACAUCUGUACAAAAUCUGCAUACCAGUAUGACUACUUUCCCACUCCUUGCAAUGCCAAAGUUCAUCAUGUUUUAUUAUUGCACUUGAGGUUCUUGAAGAGCUAGCAAAAAAAUAUGUAUCGCUUAAGGGAAAUGCUUUAUGCAAUUCAUUCUACAAUUCUAUUUUCUAAUAUUAAACUUUUUGAGAAGUUCUUUAGAGUCAAGUCGGAAAAAAGUUCAUGUUGGGAUAUAAUGAAAUUGUAAUUGAAACGGUACCAAUAAUUGUCAUCUUUUAACUAAAAAAUGAUCAAUGAUCAAGUGAAAUCCAGACUGAGGAUUGUUAAGGUAAGUUUUGGCCUUCCUUGCUUGUAUUCUUUCCAUUUGAUUAUGUUUAUUAAUAAAACGUUAUUCAAGGUAAAUAUUUGGGUGAUAUUACUGAUUGAGUUAGUACUUAGUACAUACAAAAUAUCAUACAAAUUUCAAGUUAAUCCAAAAAAUGAAAUCGGAUUAAACAUAUUAAGCGACUACUAGACUGAUUCAUGGCUUGAUAACAAAAGAUAAAUUAAUUAGGCAUUGUUAAUUAAUAAUGGCUACUUGACAAAUUAGCUAUGUUAGGCAAUAAGUGUUACUUUUGCUUAGUUGCUUCACCUGUUAAAGUAAAUAACUAAAAUGGUGCACUUGCAAGAAUAUGAAGCAAGAGGAACAAAUAAUUGGACUUGAAGACCAGAAAUUGAAGCCUACUUACUGUAUUAUUGACCAUCACCUCUUCGAAAUCUUCAGCAUCCCAAAGUCUGCUCUGUUUUCCCGAAUCUUUUUGCAUUUUCACCACAUAUCUGCCCAUAUCUUGAAUUAAGUCAUGCAUUUCAACCCUAUCAUUUUUGGAAAUGUUCACAAGAGAUUUGUCAAUCAGGACAUCCAAUCCGUAUUCAGCUCCAAAAUCACAACUUUCAAGGAUUUCAAUGACUACUUUUUUUUCAUCUCCUCGGAAGAAACAUGCCAUAUCUAGAAAUAUCUUUUGCUCUUCGGGCUCCAACCCGUCAUAACUUAUCUUGAGCUUUUUAACAAUUUCUGAACUAGAGUUUUUCUUUAUUUGGUCUACAGUGCUUCUCCACUGAGUCAGGCUUUUCUUAUGCAAUAAAGAACCCCAUACCUUGAGGGCUAAAGGAAGACCUUUAGCAUGAUUUACUACCUCUAACGAGAAGUUCUUAAAACGCUCAUCCGGAACUUCUUUUUUGAAAGCAUGCUGAUUGAACAAUUCCAUAGAUUCAUGAUCAGGUAGUGUAGGAACUUCGUAUAUUGCAUCAUCUUUCUCUAUCAAGUGUCUAUUUCUAGUUGUUACAACAACUCUACUGCCAUUACCAAACCAACCAAGAUCACCUGCUAAAUACUCUAAAUGAUCACUAUGAUCUAUGCAUCAAGAACGAUUAGCACCUUCUUUGACGAAAGCCUGUACGAAAUCAGUCUCUUCCCACAGUACUUAUCAUUGGCAUAAUCAUAUUUUUGUCUUAACAACUCAGAUAGAAGGGUAUUUUGUAAAGAAUGCAAUUGACUCUUUGUUGCAUUUUCUUUAACAUCCUCAAGAAAACAAGCAGCUUCAAAUUGAUAAGAUAGAGUAUCAAAGAUGGCUUUUGCUAUUGUUGUUUUACCGACUCCGCCUAUUCCCCAUAUCCCUACCAUCCGAACAUCAUCUAUUUCUAUCUUAAGUAGGGACUUAACUUUCUCUAAAUGAGCAUUUAUUCCCACAAUAUCUUGCAAAGAAGAUGAAGAAUAAGCAAUCUUGCAUAAUUUGGAAGAGAUGUAAUUGACAAUCUGCUGAAUAUUCUCUGAUUCAAUCCUACAUAAAUAAGAAAUUGAUUGUGGAAGAUGUGAGAAAGUCAAGUAUUAGUAAGUAUUUCAUAUUGUUAAUGUCCAUUAGGAUAUAAAAUAGGAAAAUUAUUCCAUUUCUUAAUUUUUCCAUUAAAGCAGUGAUGUGUAUUUAACUCACCCGUCACGGAUAUCGUAUCCUUUUAGAUUUGCAGCAGCAGUUAGGACAGUCCUCCAUCCUUGCACCUUCUGCAUCCCCUCAACAUCAUCCUUAUACUUUAUCUCGUGUUCGGCAAAUGCUUCUGCAAAGCUCUCGGUCUGGUUUCAAACGUGUGAUGGAUCCACAUCAUAGAAGACCGGUAUGACCAUUUGUCCAUUUUCGCUCUUGCAUUCCAUGAUCUUCUCUAGUUCAUUCAAGCACCACCUCGAUGUAGCAUAAUUCUUUGAGAAAACAACAAGAGCAACUUGAGACUCUAUGAUAGCUUUCAAGAGUUCUUGUGGGAUCGAAUCACCAUGCUCUAGCCUUUUAUCAUCUUGAAAGGUAAAUAUUCCCCUAUUUCUCAAACCUUCGUACAAGUGACUCGUAAAUGUUUUUCGAGUAUCUUCACCUCUAAAACUUAGGAAGACAUCGUACUUCCAUCGAGGACAGUACUGUGAAGAUGAUGCCAUGGAUUUAGUUAAUUUGUGUAAAAAGAAAAAUAAAUUGUAUGGUUGUGGCAAGAGAUCACUUGAUGAUAUUUUGGAUAAAGUUAUAUACAGAAAAGAGAAAAUAAAUAAGUACCACUUCAAAUAUCAAAAGUUCUAUGUACAUUGGAUUUAGUCAACUUAUAAUAUUAGGAAAUUUCUCUUAACCUUCUACAGUUCAACCCCAAAAGUAAGUACUAGGACAUUUCUGUGAAGCUUCUUAAUCUCUGAGCUUAAUUGGAUUAUGUCCAUCAAGACUUUGUGAAUUAGGUGGAAUUUGAAAGAGACCUUAGGUUCCCCACCCACUUGAUUGACACUUAAUGCCUUCACAAUUGCAACAGCUAAUCCUCACCAUUACCAGUAAUGACUAUGGAAAUAUUCACCCUUCGUUUCGAUUGGUUUGGCCUACUUUCAUUUUCUUCUUUAGCAACUCAUUAAUUUCAAUUUUCUACCUAAUUUGUUUAAGACCACAACAUUAAAGUGUUUUUUACUUCUUCUUUUUUAAUGAUCCUGGUCGCGCACCUCACAGAACAACAACAAGUACCAGGUAACUUUUUUUUACUGUAGUGUUCGAAUUAGCUUUCGUGCACCUUGACUAAUUCCACGGGAUACCUACCACCAACAACAGAUACCAGAUAACUCUGUCUACAAAGGCUAGCACGGAUGGGGAAGAAUCGCCUAGUGAUUUUUUUGGUCUCCUCCGAAUUUUGAACCUGCGACCCAGGUUCUCAAUUACUUCAUUGACAACUAUGUCUCGGUGCAAAGUAUCUUUUACUUUCUUAAACUAUGUCCCAUGUAAAAAUAGGUUAAACAAAUUAAAACGGAGUAAAGUACUAUAGACUAUAGUAGAUGUUAACAAAAAUUACCUUGUAAUUCUCUUCCCAUAGAAAAUCGUGUAUCAUCUUCUCCCCACAAAUGUUGGAGCAAAUUUGUUGUGCUCUUUUUGGUCUUUGUUGGUGGGUCUCUGUUUACCUUCCUCUAUUGGGUUCAACUCAGCUCAGCAUAUGUCAAUGCCUAUUUAGAUUGUUGACACGUGUUCUUUUUAAUUUCAAAGGCUAAGAUUUGUUUUCAGUUUAAUAAUCACUUUAUGUGGAGUCUGUUUGAAUAGACUUAUUUUAGGUGUUUUGAAAUAUUUUUAUAGUGUUUGAAUAAGAUGAAUUUAGUAAUUUAUGAUUUUUGACUUAUAAGUUAUAAGCCAGUCUGGUUGUUAGAGCAUAUUUGUAUUUGGUUUUUUUUUUUAAUACUUUUAAGUCAAAAUAAUUUUUAAACAGUUUAGUAAUAUUUGUGUAAAAUAGAAAAAUAAUUAUAAGCACUUAUUUUUAAGUAAGAAAAACAACAACAACAACAAAAAAAAGCACAAAUUAAAAUUUCUAACUUUAACACUUUUGACUUAUAAAUCAUAAGCUAAAAGUCAAACCAAACAAUUAAUUUUGAAGUGAGUUUUCAUUAUUUUGCAUUGAAUUUUGGAUAAGCAGAUUUUGCGGUUUAGAAUAGAUAUAUUCCUCCUUUAACAAGUGGUGCUAUCAUCGUCUAACAAAUGGUUUGUUUAUUCCAAAAAUAUCUUACAAUUGGUUUGUUAAUUCCAAAAAUACCACAUGAUUUUAAAAAAUUACCUCACAGUUUUAUUUAAUCUCUCCAAAAGUGUCAAAUAAUUUUUUAAAGCCACAUGACAUUUUUUGAAAUUAAAAAUCAAUUUCAAAAUAUAUUUAUAAAUUCGGUAAAUAUAGGUAUAUUAACGAAAAGAGUAAAUAUGCAUUAUUUAUUAGAGGCGAAAUGGUCUAAUGGAUCCUUGUAUUUGUAUCAUUUUGUAUUCUGGAUCCUUUUAUUUAAACCUUUGUCAUCUGGACCCUUAAACUAAAUAAAAACACAAUGUAACAAAUCCCUCUGACCAUUGACCAAGCUUAUGUGGCAUUAGAAUGUCUGAGUUGGCAAAUAUGUGUAACUACACGCUUCUUUAAGCGAGUGAAUAACAUUUUUGGGUUAAAAAAUAUUAAAAUUAUAAAAGAAAUAUUUUUUAAAAAACAAUUAAUUAAAAAAAUCCUUCUUCUUCUUCACCCACUAUCCGGUCCUUUUCAACCAUUUUCAUUCCAUACCCACCCCUUUUUUCUUCUUCUCCACAAUCUAUUAACAUUAAUUUAUCAGAUCUUAGGGCACAUCUUGAGUCCACUGAUUAACCGCGGAGGGAGAAAGCGGCGCUGGUGGUGCACGCCGGAGACCACUGCUUCGCAAUAGAGUGAGAGAGAGGCGGCAUUGGCCAGUGGAGAGAAGAACGAGGUGGGUGAGGGUGCGAGGUCAUGGCGACGAAGAGGUUUCUCGGUCAGAUCUAGUGAUGCGGUAGCUUAGGUUGUUGGUUUUGUGGAGGUUGGAGGAGGAAAGGAAAAUGGUGAUGGUGUGCGGUGGAGAUGAAGAUAGGUGAGGGAGAGAGUAUAUGCGAUUUCGCCGGCAAAAAUGGCCAUGACGACGGCGAUGGCUUCUCCGGUUGAUUUUGGCCGUGAACAGUGAAUGGGGAGAAUGAGAUGGCACUAACAACUUUUACGUCUCUUUUUACAUUUAUUAAAAAAUUUAUAUGAAGAGUAUAUGUUACCUUUUAUUAAAACAUUAUAUGGAGAAUCAAAUUUCGGCUACCUUUCAUUUAAACUAAGUUUGGUUAACAAAUAAAAUUUUACGGAUAUUUAUUAACAUAUGAAGAGUAUAUAAUACCUUUUAUAAAAUAAUUUUGGUUAAUAAUUUUAAAAAAUAAUUAUGACAUGGCACUAAUAUAUAUGACGUGGAUACGACAUGUCAUUUAUGUAAAGGAGAGUGAGUUACACACAUGGUUGGAGGGGCUUAAAAAUUUCAUUUUAAUUGAAUCUAAGGGUUCAAUUGACAAAUGGUUAAGUAAAAGGGUCCAGAAUACAAACGGAUAUAAGUAUAGGGGUCCAUCAGACCAUUUCGCCUUUAUUACACGAUGAGCCAUAUAUGCACCACCCUUUUAAUAAGGGAUAUAUCUACUCUAAAUCACAAAAUUUAGGGCUCUAUUUUUGGGAAAAUUGUAUGAAAUAGCAAACUAUUAAUUCAAAUUAAAUGUUAUAGCAAUAGUUUAUUUUAUUUGUAAUUCGCAACAAACAUCUCAUUUUUUUGCCAUCUGGUUCGAUAUACAAUUAGUCAUUUUUCGGUAUACAAUUACCCAUUCGGUAUACAAAUGUAUAAAAUGCGUUUGUGUUUGUAUAAAGCGAGAGAAAAAGUGUAUAUACAAAUACAAAUACAUAUCUUUUCGUCAUAUACACUUAUAAUUAUACAAAUAUAGAUCUUAUUAAACAAACUACAAUGUAUACAUGAAUUUAUACAAAACUGAACAAUUUGUAUAAAAUUGGAUGUAUUUAGCGAAUUAUAUAAAUCAAAAGCACCAUAGCAAACAUAAAAUUUGCUAUGAAGCGCAAUUAUGCAAAUUAUAGCUAUAACAUACAAAUAUAAUUUUUAUGUUUACUAUAUGUGAAAAUUGUUCUAUAGUUUUUCCUUUUUCCUAUAUUUUGGGAUAUUAGCGAAAAAGUACAGCCCACAAUACUACUUUGCACUUAGGUAGCCAGUUCUCAAGUUUUCAGUCGCGUAGCUCAUUAUUUUCUUACAACAAUGGUUAAAAUCUCUAUAUACGAUAUUAUAAAGGGCAAACUACAUAAAUCCCACUAGUUUAGGUCCUAAUUACUUAGAUUCCCAAUAGUUUUAGCUAUUACUUCCUCUACCAUAUUUCAUACUUAGGAUACAUGAGUUUAAAUCCGUGAGAUACAUGUAUCUGUCGAAUUUAAAAUCGAGAUACAUAUUUUAUUUGUUUAAAUUAAUAGGUUGUAACUGAUUUCCUUAAUAUAAGGAGGAAAUCAAGGAGUGUAUUUAUGUUUAAUUAAUUUCAUUUUAUUAUUAUUUGAAAUAAUAAAUUCGUUAAUAUUAUUAAUAAAAGACAAAAACAUGUAUAUCUUGGUCAUGCAAUUUGAUUAAUUUCAUUUUAUUACUCUUAAAAUAAUAAAAUUCAUUAAUUUGAUGUAUCUAUUAUCAAUAUAUGAUGUAUCCAACAAACUAAACACUUAGAUACAUGAGUAUCAUACAAGUACAUUCAUAUGUAUCAUAGAAGUAUCUAAUAUUAAUUUUGUGUAUAUGUUAUAUGUGUCUAGUAUUAAUUUCAUGUAUCUAUUUAUAUGAUAUAAUAUUAAUUUCAUGUAUCUAUUUAUAUGAUAUAAUAUUAAUUUCAUGUAUCUAUUUAUAUGAUAUAAUAUUAAUUUCAUGUAUCUAUUUAUAUGAUAUAAUAUUAAUUUCAUGUAUCUAUUUAUAUGAUAUAAUAUUAAUUUCAUGUAUCUAUUUAUAUGAUAUAAUAUUAAUUUCAUGUAUCUAUUUAUAUGAUAUAAUAUUAAUUUCAUGUAUCUAUUUAUAUGAUAUAAUAUUAAUUUCAUGUAUCUAUUUAUAUGAUCUAAUUUUAAUUUCAUGUAUAUUUUAUAUGUAUCUAUUAUUAACUCGAUGUAUCAACUAUCAAUUUCAUACAUUAUAUUCAAAAUCAUGUAUCUCGGAUACAUAGUAAACGCACAUAUAAUUAUGUGUAUCUAAAUAUGAAAUAUAAUUGAAACACACGAAUUUAGGAACAAAUCACGACUGUGGAGUAUUUGUCUUAUCAUUAAUCCAAAAAAAAAGUUAAAAAAUUACAAAAAUUCUUCCUUUCUUUAAGGAUCUGAAAUUUGUUCUCAUAGAUGCAUAUAAUCUUAACUCAGAUACAUGAACUCUUAACUAGAUACAUGUACACCUGAUGUGUAUCCAACAUUUGUUGCACUUGAUGUGCAUCUAAUGGUGUAUUUUUUUUCUCUUAAUUAAAGCUUGGCGUAAUUCUUCAUCUUGAUUGAGUCAUUCCUAUACUUAGAUCUAUUCUCGACUUGAAUGUUGGUGGAGGAAGAGUCAGUCCCUACAAUGAGAAAUUGAUGAGUGAAAAUGAGCAAAUAAAAGUUGUUUGAUUUAGUAUAGUAUUGUUAAUAUGUAGUACCUUUGACGAGAAUCAUCCGAUUUUGGGAAUGUUCAACCAUUAAAAGUGUCCGAGAAACAACAAAAUAAAAAAAUAUAAAACCUAAUUUGUAAAAUUCUACAAAAUUGAACUUUAGAACAUUAUGAACUCUAACUCAGAUACAAAAUUAAAAUACGUGAGAAUAAUGUUGAUUUGAACAUGCAAACAUAUAUUGAGAGGAUGAAGGAAGAAAGAGGGAAAAGAUGAAUUAAGGAAGAAGGAGGGAUGGGCUUACGGAGGAAACUGCAUAUGUGAAAAAAGAAGAAGAUGAUUUGACUUGUAUUGGAUAUGGACCAUUAAUUAAGGAGUAGAUAAUUAUUCAAUUCCUUAUAAGGGAUUAGUGUAUAUGAUUAAAAUUUUCAAAAUAUAUGAUAUAAAUAUUAAAAGUGGUAAUAUAUGUAAUUAUUUUAAACUAGAGAUAAAUAUAGUAUAUAUGGUAGUGAUGUAUGUGUAGUUAUGUAGUUUAUCCUAUUAUAAAUAACUUUAUUUUUUUUACAACAAUAUUUAAAAACUUGAUAUACAAUAUUAUGCACUUAAUAUACAAAUAUUAAACAAAAUUAUAAGAGGUGUUUAUACACUCAUAUACACUAAAUUCGUCCACGGAUUACAGUAUUUUCAUAUGAAAUUAGGACAAAAGAAUCUCCUAUAAAUUGAUGUCAAACAUCAAUGGCCAUACAUAUCCAAGUUUUAAGAACAAGAACAUAUUAGAAAACAUCACCUAGAAAAAUAAUAGCUAAGUCAAGAUACCACAAUGUACAAAAUACAAACCUAGAAUGACUAAGCUAACCAAAACUAAAUAUGCCAUUAAAAUACAUUAAUGAUUCAAUAAAAACAGACACAAAAGUACAACUUUAUAAACAUUAGCAGGCCAGAAAUGGAAACUAAAAUACGAGCCAAAUAGAGAGUCUGAGUGUCACGGACUUAGAAUCCUACUAAAGCUCCGUGCGGCACUUGACAACUUACUCACGAAUCUUUCACGAUCUUGUAAGCUCAAGUAAGCCAUUUGAAACUAAGAUCGCUAAGAGAAUGCAAAGAAAGACUUAGAAAGAUUUGGAAAGUUUGGAAGAAGGCUUGUAUUAAGCUUGGAAGAUUGCUUACACUUGCUUGGUGAUUUAUAAAUGAGAGGCCCCUUCUAUUUAUACUACUUCCUAAGGGCCUAAAUGCAAAUAAAAAUUACUUUACAAGUCCCUCUAAUAAUUACAUUUUAGUCCCUUUCUAGAAUUCUCUACCAAUUCUAGGAAAUUCUAAAAAUUUCUUGGAAAAUAUCUAAGUUAUUCUAGAGAAUUAUGUAAAAGGUUCCCUUUCUAGAAUUCUCUACCAAUUCUAAAGAUUUCUUGGAAAAUAUCUAAGUUAUUCUAGAGAAUUAUCUAAAAGAUUUUAGAGUUCUCCGCAAACCUCUUCACAACUCUAGACCCUUCCGUCCAAUUUAACUGUGAUGUGACGGGACGUGACAUUGAGUCUACUUAGUUCACUGAUCAACACACUUGUAACUAAAUAAAACAUGUAGUUUGAGUAUAUAAGACAAUAAAAGAAUAUAAGUAUCUUACAUUUAAUGAACACGCAUGAGUACAUAUACAGAAACGACUAGCAUCUGCAGACAUAAGCCAAGACUGCAGCCAAGACAAAAAUAAAUCAUAGGAAAAAACGCGAGUUUCAUUGAUAGUACGGUAAUAACAUGCACAAGAACUAAUUCGUAAAUUCUAGUGAAUCCUUUUCACCCUUGUUUCUACCAAAUUCCCUAAGCUGAGCACAUAACUCAAUGCUUACUAUCUCUACAUAAAACCUUAAACAGAUAUAUAGAAUUUUAACGACUGCUUGAACAUUCUGUAGAACCACAUUGCAUCAGGGGAGAGAAGAGAAUGGCCACUGAAAUGAUGCUUCAGUGUGUCUUUGAUGGAAGCUUGUCGAUGUCAGACAUGAUGACCUUACCAUAAAAACUGCAGUUGUGCAUUGCAUAAACAGAAGGAGGAUAUAUCACAGCCAAGCACUUGUGUCCAUGGUAGGAAUAUAUCAUUCCCCAAAAGGCAAAACCGGAAAGAUAUGACUUUGUCAAUAGCAGCUUCUCAAUUCUCUUCUCCAUCCUCUUCGUGCAAUAAUUCAUCAGUCACGAGUGUACAGCAUAUGACGUUGAGCUUACCAAAUAGUUCAUGAUAGAUUUUGGCUAUUUCCUAGUCAGAUGAGUUUGGCAAAGAAUUGAGUGUUCUGCUUUUCUUCUUAUACAUUCCCAAUUUUGGUACAUUCUGGUAAGUUUGUGUACCAAGAAGAUCUCAUUUCACACUCUGAGAGACAAAGACCUCGAACAUCGUAGAAAAAAGAUCACUGCCAAUGCAUCAUUUUAGACCUAACUAAGUCCUUUUAUGACACAAAUGUUAAAAUAAUGCAUCAUUUUUGGACCAUUGAGAUUAUAAAACUAAACUCAUUCAGUAAAGAACAAAGGGAAUAAUGUCCACAAAUGGACUAGUAUUAUGUUUGUUACUGCACUUACCUUGCCUGUCACAAAAUACAAGGAAAUAUGUACACACAUACUUUGUAAGAUUAUUCUAAACCAUCUGUCACUUUCAUCAGAUCUGUUUACUUUUUCAUUUCAUCAAUUUCUCCGUCUUAAGAAAAAUGCUUUAGUUGCUGAUAUUAUCCCCUCAAGUUUUCUUGUUUUUGUCUCUUUUGUGUUCUUCAUCCCUUCUUUGCCUUUAAGAAAAUGUAUGAUCUGUGUUUGAGUAUAAAAGAAAAUGUAAGAAUGAAGAUAUGCAGAACAAACUGGCACAUACUGUAUCAUUCUUACUAGUUUUAAACAAAGAAUUCACAGUUACAGGGACAGUUUCAAGGAAUCCAAAUGGUUUUAUAACAUGUUUUCUACUGUUCUUUAAAAUAUAUGUUAGAACUAAUACCAGAAAACAGUCGAGAUGGAAAAGCCACGUCCAUAUUUAGCAGAAGCACGAAAAUCUUAUCAUUCCGGGACAAUCAAACUGAGAAAAGGAGCAUAGUACUAGCAUCAGUAUUCAAUGAAAAAUAACUCUGAUUAAUUAUGUCAAACAAAAGAAUUGUAAAGCUAAGUCAUGCUGCCUUGUUCAUUAAAGUGACGAUGAUGGACUAGAUUUGCAAGAAACUAUAGGUCUUUCGAGACAACUCCCUACCAUAUUGUUUUAGGUCAACCUUGUCUCCUUGAUAUAGGACAUGCAUGUCUAAAUCCGCUCUCAAACAACUUCCUCUCAUUUGCUCUAUUUGCACCUUGUAUCGAAUGUGAUCACUUUUAAGUUUUAGUACUAUUGUCUAAUCUUGUAUAACCGCAUAUUCAUCUUACUUAGCAUACGCAUCUAAGGCAGAAACUGAACUUUUCCUGCUUUGAUUUUGCACCAGAAGAUAAAAUGCUCAACUAGCCCUACAAAGUGUUAAAAUAAUGCAUCAAUUUAGACUAAAGUAAGUCCUUGUAUGACACAAAUGUUAAAAUAAUGAUCAUUUUAGGCCAUUGAGAUUAUAAAACUAAGCUCAUUCAGUAAAGACAAUGGGAAUAUACUGUCACAAAUGGCCUAUUAUUAUGUUAAUUUGUUUCUGUACUUACCUUGCCUGUCACAACUCACAAAAUACAAGGAAAUAUUUAAGAACAUAUAUACUUUGCAACACUUUUCUAAAUCAUCUGUCACUUUCAUCAGAUCUGUUUACUUUUCAUUUCAUCGGUUUCUCCGUUUUCAGAAAAAUGCUUUAGUGGCUGAUAUUUCCAGUUGUUAAUUAUUGGGAUUUAUAGUAUCUUUUACGUCAUUUUCAACUAAUACAUGUUAUUUUAUCUAUCUCAAUUUAUGUGGCACCGAUAGAAGUCUAAGAGUCAACCGAAUUGUUUAUAUGUCUUUGAAAUAUUUUAAAUUAUUAGGUAAGUUUUAAUUAUAUAAAAGAUUUUUAAAAAUAAAACAGACAAAUCAAAACAAGUAACCACGAAAAAUUACCGAAAUACCCCUAUAUGCCAAAGUAGACAUGUUGACCUACUGCUUGCUUUGGCAUGUAAACUCCCUCUUAUAAGUGGCAUGUAAAGUCCCUCUUAUGAGAUAGGUAUUAUAAAAUAUAAUAUAAGUAUACUCAGUUGACUUUUUUUGGAAAAGUGGAAUUUUGCAUCUCCCUUUUUUUUUCCUUCCUUCCCAUAGGGUAUAUGUAUACCUCAUUUUAUUCCUAUAUAUAGCAUAACCCUUUUGAAAUCUCAGCUAGGACAAAAGGAAGUUGUUUGGUUGGUAAGUACCCGUCGCUUCCAACCUUAAGAUUGUGAGUUCGAAUCACCAAGGAAGUAAAAAAGUGAAACCUCCUGGAAGGGCUAAAAAAAAGGUCUCAGCUCGGAUUUGCAAGGUAUCCCUUUGAAUCCAUAUCUCUUUGAAUUUGUUUGCACUUGUUGUUGUGUUUGUCAUUUAUGUAGGAAAACCUACAUAAAGUCUACUAGUUUAGGAGUUAAUUAUUUACAUACACUCUAGUUUGCAAUAUUACGAAUUUUACCAGAUUUUGGUGCGUCCAGAUUCAUACAUAACAGAUCUCUCGCCUACCUCCCAUCUCGCUCGCCACUCUCGUAUGUAUCUGUUAUCUUAAAUACAUGUGAAUCAUACUUCUCUCUCGCCACUCUCCUAUGUAUCUGUUAUCUUAUUCAUACAUACCAUAUCUCUCGCCUACCUCCCAUCUCGCUCGCCACUCUCCUAUGUAUUUGUUAUCUUAGAUACAUGUGAAUCAUACUUCUCACUCGCCACUCUCCUAUGUAUCCGUUAUCUUAGAUACAUGUGAAUCAUACACAGUAUAUACACACCUCCCCCUGCUCUCCUCUCUCCCUAUUUUAAUGUAUUUGGUAGCAAAAAUACAUGUAUCUAGAUGUUCUUCAAUAUACGGUAGGAAACUCUUAAUUAGUGGUAAGAUAUGUAAUAUUUUGAAAGUAUAGGUAAUACUAUAUGUGGUAGUGGAGUAUAUCUAAUUAUAUAGUUUCUCCUUUUAUGUAUAAAGACAGUACUAUAUACUAACUCUAUCUGGGCUCAUCAUGAUCAAUUAAUUAGAAUAUGCAUGAGACAGUUAGACUCAUUUGUCUUGUUAUUGAUUGGCAUUUUUAAAAAUCUGUUUUUUAGAUGGAUACGCAGAACGCGGAACAAUAUGGACAUGUAGUUGAGGUACAUGGUAAAAUCUGUGGUUCAGCACUGUGUGGAUUCUCAGAUGUUAAUACCAUGUCUAAGGAUGCACAGGAGAGAUCAGCAUCGAUGAAGAAACUGUGCGUUGCAGUUGUCCUUUGCAUCAUUUUUAUGGCUGUCGAGGUUGUCGGAGGUAUUAAAGCCAACAGUCUUGCAAUUUUGACAGAUGCAGCUCAUCUACUAUCAGAUGUUGCAGCUUUUGCAAUAUCCUUGUUUUCACUUUGGGCAUCAGGAUGGGAAGCUAAUCCACGCCAGUCGUAUGGUUUUUUCAGAAUUGAAAUACUUGGUGCAUUAGUUUCUAUCCAAAUGAUAUGGCUUCUAGCUGGUAUCCUUGUUUAUGAAGCCAUUGCUCGACUUAUACAUGAUACCGGUGAAGUUCAAGGCUUCCUCAUGUUUAUCGUGUCUGCAUUUGGAUUAGGAGUGAACCUCAUCAUGGCAUUCUUGUUAGGUCAUGAUCAUGACGUCCACGGCCAUAAUCACAAAGAGCAUGGUGAUGAUGAUCAUGAGCAUACACAUGAUAUACAUGGAAUAAGUGUUAGCCGACACCAUCACCAUAAUGAGGGACCUUCGAACCAAGCACAUAACGCUGAUCAUCACACUGCUGUUCCUCUACUUAAAGAUUCCUGUGAGAGUGAAGGUGAAAAGAAAAAGAAGCAGUGGAAUAUUAAUGUGCAGGGGGCUUAUCUUCAUGUACUAGGAGAUUGUAUUCAGAGCAUAGGGGUCAUGAUUGGAGGAGCUAUUAUAUGGUAUAAACCAGAGUGGAAAAUCAUUGAUCUAAUCUGCACACUCAUUUUCUCCGUCAUUGUUCUUGCCACAACUAUUAAGAUGAUUCGGAAUAUUCUUGAAGUAUUAAUGGAGAGCACACCUAGAGAAAUUGAUGCAACAAGGCUUGAGAAGGGGCUUUGUGAGAUGAAGGAGGUUGCUGCAAUCCAUGAAUUGCACAUUUGGGCGAUUACAGUCCGGAAAGUACUCUUGGCUUGUCAUGUCAAUAUUAAACCUGAUGCUGAUGCUGAUAUGGUGCUGGAUAAAGUGGUUGAUUAUAUUAGGAGGGAAUAUAACAUUAGCCAUGUAACUAUUCAAAUAGAAAGAGAGUAUUGAAAAUGUAAAAAUGACAAUAUGCAGAAUAAACUGGAAAAUACUGUAUCAUUCUUAAACAAGUUUCAAGAGAUAAAACUAUCAAACACCAGUAUAUAUAAGACAGUAAAAUAUUAUAAGUAUCUUACAUAAAACGAACACGCAUAAGUACGUACAUAUAAAGAACAAAACAGCAUGUGCAGACAUUAUAAGCAAAGACUGCAGCCAAGACAAAAAUAGAUCAUAGGAAAAAACGCCAGUUUCAUUGAUAGUACGGUAAUAACAUAAUACACAAGAACUUGUUGAUCCUUUUUUUCACCCUUGAUGCUAUCAAAUUCCCUAAGCUGGGCACAUAACUCAGUACUUACUAAUAUCUCUAUAUAAAUCCUCAAACACAUAUGAUUACACUUACUUCAUACAAAACCACAUUGCAUCACUAAAGAAAGAGGAGAGAGAAGAGAAUGGCCACUGUAGCAGCUGCAAUGAUGCUUCAGUGUGUCUUUGACGGAAGCUUGUCGAUGUCAGACAUGAAUAUCGAGAGACGACCUUACCAUAAAAACUGCAGUUGUGCAUUGCACAAGCAGAAAGGGGAUAAUCAAACCACUUGUGUCCACAGUAGGAAUGUAUCAUUCCCCAAAAGGCAAAACCAGAAAGAUAUGACUUUGUCAAUAACAGCUUCCCAAUUCUCUUCUCCAUCUUCUUCUUGCAAUAACUCAUUUGUCGCGAGUGUACAGCAUACAGCGCCACAGGGGAUAAUCAAACCACUUGUGUCCACAGUAGGAAUGUAUCAUUCCCCAAAAGGCAAAACCAGAAAGAUAUGACAUUGUCAAUAGCAGCUUCUCAAUUCUCUUCUCCAUCUUCUUCUUGCAAUAAUUCAUUCGUCACGAGUGUACAGCAUACAGCGCCGACUUUAGCAAGUAGUUGAAUGUACUGCUUUUCUUCUAUCACAUAGUAAAUUUUUCAAACCAAAUUUACCAGAACUUCUUGAUCUUCACUUUUCCUUUUUCUGUUUUAUUUUAUAUUUUACCUUCUUCUAUUUUUAUUUCCACUUAGGGUGAUGUAAUGUAACAGUCGAAACCACGUUACGAAUCCAUUUGGAUAUUUGAAACUAUUCUUGGAAAUGUGAAUUCAUUGUUAAGAACUUCUCUUGAAACUUUUCUUAAGAAUGAACAGUACUAUGUUCCAGUUUGUUAUUCAUAUAUUCAUUUUCUAUAAUCACACCACACUCAAAACAGAAAUCGUACAUUUACGUAAAGGCAAAGGAGAGAGAUAAAGAAGAACACUUGAGGAGACGAUAUCAGCAACUAAAACAUUAUUCUGAAAACGGAGAAACUGAUGAAAUGAAAAGUAAACAGAUCCGAUGAAAAAGAAAGAUGGUUUAGAGAAGUCUUACAAAGUAUGUGUGUACGUAUUUCGUUGUAUUUUGUGACAAACAAGGUAAGUACAGAAACAAACAUAAUAGUAGGCCAUUAUGACAUUACUCCCUUUGUCUUUACUAAAUGAGCUUAGUUUUAUAAUCUCAAUGGUCUAACAUGAUCCAUUAGUUUAACAUUUGUGUUGUACAAGGACUUGGUUUAGGUUAAAUAAUGAUUUUUUAAAUCAUGAUCAGCAGAACACGUAGCAACAACUUUACCAGUUACGUUAAAGAUAAAAGGAGCAUAGUUUAGUAUGAUUGACAUAACAUAUUGCAGGAAGAGAAAAAAAUACAUCACUUAUUUCAUUGAACAACUGUUGAACAGGAUCAUUCUCUCUGCAUCAAGCAUUUUUAUUUAGAACCAGCACAGUCAAAUGAGACAAUACAAGUCACACGAGGGUGUGACAACUUUCGAACUUGGAAAUGUUAAGUUUGUUUUAAUUCUCCGAUAAAACAAAAGUUCAUACGUCAAAUAAAACUUAUAAUACUAAGCCAUGCUAACUCGUUCAUUUGCCAGCCUCACAUAAUGGACUAAUAAAGAGCCUACAAGUGACAUAAUCACCGAGAAGCUUUUAACAUUAAAUUUUGUCAUAUCUUUAAUCAACUAUGCCUCAAUCAUCCUCGAGCUAUUAUCAAGUGAAUUUGACACAUUAAAUAGAGCUAGAUGAUGUGAGGUCAAAAAUAUAUAUUUUUAAUCAUUAUUUGCCUCACAUUAAUUAUUUAUAUAUGUCUUUUUUGAGCAUAAAUGUUAUGGAUUGUGCUAAAUAGUAUAUUUUAUUUGUAGGAGUAAAUUAGUGUGAAGUUGAAGAAGUUUGGAGCUUAAACGAAUUAAAGAUGAAAGAUUAUAGAAGAAAAUCAAGCAGUCAGUUUAAUAGAUUAAAUUCUGUAUAAAAUAUAAAGUUGCAAAGUUCAAUUGAAAAAGAGAAUCCUUCCCCGUGGCAGCAAUGGAAGACACCUUCAGAUUGUUUGAAGCAGCGGCUGAGGCGGUUACCGAAUACGCGUGGAAUUAGGAAAUUCAAAUUCUGUUUGGUUUUGAUUUUCUAGUUUAUUUUGGAAUCAAUUAUUUUAUUUAAGAUUUUCUACAUCUAUAAAUAGUUCACAGAAAUAAUUAUUAGAGGAGAUCAAUAAGGAGAAACUUUACAAGAAAAAGUUGUCAAUAUUUUUUAGGGUUAUUUUCUUUUUCUUUCUUUUCCUAGAGAUUAGUGGCGAAACACCCUUGUUCUGGGGCUGUAGCUACAAAUCGAAGGUUGAAUAUUUAAGGUUUAUGAAUUAAUUCUUGGUUGUCAUUAUAAGUUACUUCUAUAUUCUUGUUUUAGUAUUUUAUGCUUGCGCACCAUAAGAUAAAUCUAUUGUCUAAUCUUGAAAUUGAGAGAGGAGGGGUUAGAUAGACUAGAGAAUAUAGAGAGCUCGGUCGACCCAUUUGAUUGAGGUGAUUAGUGUUCAGGAGUGACACCCGGACGAACAACUUGCUUGGUUACGAAAUAAGAUGAAAUAUAAAUGUUCGUCAGUUAGUCUAUUUAUCCCCGCUUAACGAUAUAGUUAGAUAACUAACUGGAGUAGGCGAUGAGAGGUGUGUAGCCUGACUCAUACAAUUAAGCCUAUAAACCAGUAACUUGACAACUAAAAUUAGUUCUAAGCAAAGAAUAUGAUACAUGAGAUUCAUUGCAUGUUGCAUCCCUUGAAUUUGCCCAAUCACUGUAAGUAAUCUUAUUAUUUAAUUCCUACAUUCUUUUCUUUAUAAAUAAAAAGUCAAACUCUUUUAGCACUCUUAAAUAAACAAUUAGACUAGUAUAAUUUAGUAAAUAGUUAAUUGACAAGUCCUUUGGGUUCAAUAAUCUUUUUAAGAGCCACUAUGUUAUUUGCGCGACCACGUACACUUGCGUGUGCAAUUGGGAGCAAUAAGUUUUUGGCGCCACUGCCGGGGACUUAGAAAUUGAUUUAUAUUUAAUCUUCUUAAGUCUACAAAUAAAAUAUUCAGGUAUUAAUUACUUGAUCUUAGCUUGUAUAUUGCAAACAAUUGACUUUCAGGUCUGGCUAGGAAAGGAGAACUUGUCGAACCUUACAACGAACCCGAAAGAGUCUUACGCCAGCGCAGGAAAAUGGCUAAUCAAGGACGACAUGGAGAAUUGGGGUUAGGUCUUCAAGAAGACAAUGAGAACAAUAAUCAAGACAAUGUGAAUAACCCCGGGAACUUGAACAACUAAGCGGUAUCCCCUGUAGUACCUGCAAGACCAGUCCGUGAUGUGGCAGUCCCACUCACAGCCAAUGUGGCAUCUAGUAUUAGGAAACCUCCACUGGGGGUAGAUUUGAACUAAAACAGGGCAUGAUACAACUUCUCCAUUCUAAUGGGCAAUUCACUGAUCUCCCUCACGAGGAUCCUCAAAUCCACAUUAGGAACUUUAUCACUGACAUACAUCCCAACUGGAGUCUCAUCGGACUAUGUGAGGCUGACGUUGUUUCCAUACUCAUUGUUAGGAGCUGCAAAGCAUUAGUUAGAUACUGAACCACCAAACUCCAUCACUACCUGGGAUUACCUAGCAAGAAAGCUCUUGAGUCGAUUCUUUCCAUCCAAGAAAACUGCACGGUUGAGGAGAGAGAUAUUAUGCUUUAGGCAAAAUCAAGGGGAGGAAAUGUACCAAGCAUGGGCUCGUUUCAAACAAAUAUUGAAUGCUUGCCCGCACCACAUGCAAACUAGUGAGGUACUUGCUCACACUUUCUUUGAGGGUUUAGAUUAUAAUGCUCGUGUACUUUUUAAUAAUGCAGCAGGUGGACAGGCCCUAGCUAAAACAUGUGAAGAGUUGUUCGACUUACUCAACAGACUCUCCGAAGGGAACCCAGGAUAUGAGGGGGAAAUGCCGAGAACCACAACCCAAAAGGCCGCAGGGACCUUAGAUGUAGAUCAAGCUACUGCCAUAAAUGCCAAAUUAGAUGUUAUGCAACAUAACAUAGCCUUACAUUUUAAACAGAUGGCUCUAAAUGAUGCACCGGUAAACGUUGUGCAACACGCAGCCAAUUGGUGUGAGGUAUGUGUAGUGGAGCUCAUGAAAUCGAGCAAUGUGAGGUAAACCCGAAUUCCGUAAACUAUAUGGGUAAUGCGCAAAGGGGUGAAGGUCAGCAAAAUUAUAGUAACACCUACAACCCUAGUUGGAGGAACCAUCCUAACUUCUCAUGAGGUGGGAAUCAAAACCAAAAUCAGGCGCAAGGGGCUAACCAAUACCGUUCUCAAGGGGCUGGGCAACAAUACCAGAAUCCUAACCAAGGCGCAAAUCCUAGUGCACCAAAGGGGGGAUGACCAAUGAAGAGCUACUCCAAAAGCUCAUGACUAAAAUAGGGACCAAACUAAAUGCUAUAAUAGAUAAGCAGGAUGAGAACAUCAAAAACAUCCAAAUGUCCCAAAUGAGUUUAAAGAAACAAGUUGCGCAAGUAGCUAAUUCUCUGAACUUGCGUCCCCAAGGUGGGCUACUCAGUGAUACUGAACCCAACCCAAAGCAAUUGCAUGCGGUAAGUACUAGAAGUGGGUUACAAUUAGAGGAACAAGCUCUAAAGAAGAGAGAUACUGAGGCAAGUACCAAAGAAAAGAAAGUGGAAGAGGUAGUAAAAAGCUCCAAUGUUGAGGUACCCAUUCCUCAAAAGAAAUUACCACCUCCGUUUCCACAAAGGCUCAAAAAGAAGAAUGAUGAUGAAUGCUUAGGUAAGUUUCUCUCUCUCCUUAAACAGGUUCAUAUUAAUUUGCCUUUGGUUGACAUUUUGCACGGUAUCCCGAAGUAUGCUAAAUACAUGAAGGACAUUGUGGCUAGCAAGAGGAGGCUCACGGAGUAUGAAACUGUAGCACUUACUGAGGAGUGCAGCUCUAGAAUUUAAAAUAGACUACCCAAAAAGUUAAAAGAUCCAGGUAGUUUUACUGUGCAGAUUACAAUUGAGCAAAGUGUUCAUGCCUGCGGGUUGUGUAAUUUGGGGGCAAGUAUAAAUCUAAUGCCCUUAUCAUUAUAUCAAAAGCUUAGGUUGGGUAGUCCAAAACGAACCACUGUUAUUCUCCAACUCGCUAAUAGAUCCAUUGCUAGGCCAGAGGGGGUGGUAGAAGAUGUGUUAGUGCAAGUAGGUUCGUUGAUUUUUCCGGUGGAUUUUGUGGUCUUAGAUUUUGAAGCCGAUUCUGAAGUUCCAUUUAUUUUGGGACGUCCGUUCUUGGCCACGGGUAGGGCAUUGAUUGAUGUAGCAGCUGGUCAAUUAACUAUGAGGGCACAUGAUAAAGUAGAGAUAUUCGAUGUUUAUCGCGCUUUAAAAUUGCCUUCUAUCUAUGAAGAGUUGUCUGUUAUUACUGUGAUUGAUCACAUAGUAGAAUCACAAGUAGUUGUGCCUGAAGAUCCCUUAGAGAGAGUUUUAGUAGGUCAUGAGGUGGAUGGAGAUACUGAGGAUCAAGAGAUAGAAUCAUGUUUGAAUCUAGCACUUGUUGGCACUCGUAAGCUUCGAGCAGAGUCACUAGAUCGUAAGUUAGAACCCCCACCAAAGCCAUCAAUAGAAGAAGCGCCCAAGCUGGAACUAAAAACUUUGUCGUCUCACCUAAGGUAUGCUUAUUUGGGUGAAUGAAACUUUGCAUGUUAUACUUUCUGCAGAAUUGUCUGAAUUACAGGUUGAUGCGGCAUUGAGGAUCUUAAAGCGGAGAAAAGAAAGUGAUUGGAUGGCAGAUGGCUGAUAUUCAUGGGAUUAGUCCUGCGUUAUGUAUGCACAGAAUCUACAUGGAAAAUGAUCACAAACCAAGUGCACAACAUCAACGUCGGCUAAAUCCUUUGAUGAAAGAAGUGGUAAGAAAGGAAGUAAUAAAGUGGCUAGAUGCUGGAAUUGUGUACCCAAUCUCAUAUAGUAAGUGGAUAAGUCCCUUGCAAUGUGUUCCCAAGAAGGGAGGUAUGACAGUGGUAAGAAACGAAAAGAAUGAGUUGAUUCCUACUAAAACAGUGAUCGGUUAGAGAAGUUGUAUGGAUUACUAGAAACUUAAUGAUGCCACCCGAAAAGAUCACUACCCGGUUCCCUGCAUUGAUCAGAUGCUUGACCGACUAGCAGGGCAGGAGUACUAUUUUUUCUUAGAUGGGUAUUCCGAUUACAACCAGAUCUUGAUUGCACCCAAGGAUCAGGAAAAGACCACGUUCACUUGUCCUUAUGGUACCUAUGCUUUCAAACACAUACCAUUCGGACUUUGCAAUGCACCAACAACUUUUCAAAGGUGUAUGAUGGCCAUUUUUCAUGAUAUGGUAGAAAACUUUGUAGAGGUGUUCAUGGAUGAUUUCUCCGUCUUUGGAAAGUCUUUUGAGGUAUGUCUCCGGAAUCUUGAUAAAAUACUUGCUAGAUGUGAGGACACUAACUUAGUUUUAAAUUGGGAAAAGUGUCAUUUUUUUGUUAGAGAGGGGAUAGUGUUGGGUCACAAGGUGUCGAAGUCGGGUUUAGAGGUUGAUAAGGCCAAGGUAGAAUUUAUUGAAAAAUUGCCCCCUCCCAUUUCUAUAAAAGGGGUGCGUAAUUUUCUUGGUCAUGCAGGUUUCUACCGGCGAUUCAUCAAGGAUUUUUCCAAGAUUGCAAGACCUAUGCGCAGUCUUUUGGAGAAGGAGGUGAAGUUUGACUUUGAUGAGAUGUGCUUGAAAGCUUUUGAGAUAUUGAAGAGGAACUUAAUUGAGGCUCCCAUCUUAAUUGCUCCUGAUUGGGGACUACCAUUUGAACUCAUGUGUGAUGCAAGCGACAUAGCAGUGGGUGCAGUGUUGGGACAAAGAAAGAAUAAAGUGUUCCACUUGAUCUAUUAUGCAAGCAAGACCCUUGACUCUACACAAGCUAAUUACACAGUGACUGAGAAGGAGAUGCUAGCUUUAGUGUUCGCCUUCGACAAGUUCAGAUCAUAUUUGGUAGGUACUAAAGUGAUGUUUUACUGACCAUGCAGCUAUUAGGUACCUAUUCAACAAGAAGGAUGCUAAACCAAGGCUGAUUCGCAGAACGCGGAACAAUAUGGACAUGUAAUUGAGGUACAUGGUAAAAUCUGUGGUUCAGCACCGUGUGGAUUCUCAGAUGUUAAUACCAUGUCUAAGGAUGCACAGGAGAGAUCAGCAUCGAUGAGGAAACUGUGCGUUGCAGUUGUCCUUUGCAUCAUUUUUAUGGCUGUCGAGGUUGUCGGAGGUAUUAAAGCCAACAGUCUUGCAAUUUUGACAGAUGCAGCAGCUGAAUAAAAACUAUCAAACACCAGUAUAUAUAAGACAGUAAAAUAAUAAAAGUAUCUUACAUAAAACGAACACGCAGAAGUAAGUACAUAUAAAGAACAAAACAGCAUGUGCAGACAUAAUAAGCAAAAGACUGCAGCCAAGACAAAAACAGAUCAUAGGAAAAAACGCUAGUUUCAUUGAUAGUACGGUAAUAACAUGCACAAGAACUUGUUGAAUUCUAGAGAAUCCUUUUUUUCACCCUUGAUGCUAUCAAAUUCCCUAAGCUGGGCACAUAACUCAGUACUUACUACUAUCUCUAUAUAAAUCCUCAAACACAUAUACAGAAUUUUAAGAACGAUUAUACUUCAUACAAAACCACAUUGCAUCACUAAAGAAAGAGGAGAGAGAAGAGAAUGGCCACUGUAGCAGCUGCAAUGAUGCUUCAGUGUGUCUUUGACGGAAGCUUGUCGAUGUCAGACAUGAAUAUCGAGAGACGACCUUACCAUAAAAACUGCAGUUGUGCAUUGCACAAGCAGAAAGGGGAAAAUCCAACCACUUGUGUCCACAGUAGGUAUAUAUCAUUCCCCAAAAGGCAAAACCAGAAAGAUAUGACAUUGUCAAUAGCAGCUUCUCAAUUCUCUUCUCCAUCUUCUUCUUGCAAUAAUUCAUUCGUCACGAGUGUACAGCAUACAGCGCCGACUUUAGCAAGUAGUUGAAUGUACUGCUUUUCUUCUAUCACAUAGUAAAUUUUUCAAACCAAAUUUACCAGAACUUCUUGAUCUUCACUUUUCCUUUUUCUGUUUUAUUUUAUAUUUUACCUUCUUCUAUUUUUAUUUCCACUUAGGGUGAUGUAAUGUAACAGUCGAAACCACGUUACGAAUCCAUUUGGAUAUUUGAAACUAUUCUUGGAAAUGUGAAUUCAUUGUUAAGAACUUCUCUUGAAACUUUUCUUAAGAAUGAACAGUACUAUGUUCCAGUUUGUUAUUCAUAUAUUCAUUUUCUAUAAUCACACCACACUCAAAACAGAAAUCGUACAUUUACGUAAAGGCAAAGGAGAGAGAUAAAGAAGAACACUUGAGGAGACGAUAUCAGCAACUAAAACAUUAUUCUGAAAACGGAGAAACUGAUGAAAUGAAAAGUAAACAGAUCCGAUGAAAAAGAAAGAUGGUUUAGAGAAGUCUUACAAAGUAUGUGUGUACGUAUUUCGUUGUAUUUUGUGACAAACAAGAUAAGUACAGAAACAAACAUAAUAGUAGGCCAUUAUGACAUUAUUCCCUUUGUCUGUACUAAAUGAGCUUAGUUUUAUAAUCUCAAUGGUCUAACAUGAUCCAUUAGUUUAACAUUUGUGUUGUACAAGGACUUAGUUUCGUCUAAAAAGAUGCAUUAUUUUUAACAUUUAUGUUGUACGACGACUUAGUUUAGGUUAAAUAAUGAAUUUUUAAAUCAUGACCUGCAGAACACAUAGCAGCAACUUUACCGGUUACACUAAAAAUCCCCUUCCUGAGAUGGUAAAGCUAUGUCAACAUUUAGCAGAUGCACGGAAGUCUUAUCAUUCAGGGACAAUCAAACGGAGAAAAGGAGCAUAGUUUAGUACUAGCAGCAAUGUUCACCUUAAAAUAAAGGGAAAGGGGUCAAAAAUACCCCUCAACUUUGGUUUAUUGUUUGACUACGCCCUCGCCGUUAAAAUGAAGUUAUUUUUACCCCUCCCGUUACUAAUUUCACCAAAUUUACCCCUCAAUUGGAUGGAAAACCCAAAUCAAUUAAAAUUACCCAAUUUCAAUUAAAUAACCCAAUUUUUUCUCUUUUUAAUCCGAACCCGACCCAUUUAUACCAAAUUAAAACCCCAAAUCAAGCUCCGGCAAUCGCCAUUCAUUUUCUCCGUUUUCCGGCGAAACACCACCAAAACAACCUCCAAACGACCACCUGAAACCACCACUAAAAACCCCCAAGAACCAGAAACGACAUCAAGCAAAAAACAUUAACAACAAACCCAUUUUCCUCUACUUUCCAUUGACGACAACAAGAUCUUUCUUCUCCAUUUCCGGCCAGUUUCAAGCUGGAACAACAUUAAGCAAAUUACCCACCGUCGGAAUCAUUCAAACAGCCGUGAAACCGACCUGAAACAGCUCUCAAACACCACUCUCUCCACGCCAAAAUCNNNNNNNNNNNNNNNNNNNNNNNNNNNNNNNNNNNNNNNNNNNNNNNNNNNNNNNNNNNNNNNNNNNNNNNNNNNNNNNNNNNNNNNNNNNNNNNNNNNNNNNNNNNNNNNNNNNNNNNNNNNNNNNNNNNNNNNNNNNNNNNNNNNNNNNNNNNNNNNNNNNNNNNNNNNNNNNNNNNNNNNNNNNNNNNNNNNNNNNNNNNNNNNNNNNNNNNNNNNNNNNNNNNNNNNNNNNNNNNNNNNNNNNNNNNNNNNNNNNNNNNNNNNNNNNNNNNNNNNNNNNNNNNNNNNNNNNNNNNNNNNNNNNNNNNNNNNNNNNNNNNNNNNNNNNNNNNNNNNNNNNNNNNNNNNNNNNNNNNNNNNNNNNNNNNNNNNNNNNNNNNNNNNNNNNNNNNNNNNNNNNNNNNNNNNNNNNNNNNNNNNNNNNNNNNNNNNNNNNNNNNNNNNNNNNNNNNNNNNNNNNNNNNNNNNNNNNNNNNNNNNNNNNNNNNNNNNNNNNNNNNNNNNNNNNNNNNNNNNNNNNNNNNNNNNNNNNNNNNNNNNNNNNNNNNNNNNNNNNNNNNNNNNNNNNNNNNNNNNNNNNNNNNNNNNNNNNNNNNNNNNNNNNNNNNNNNNNNNNNNNNNNNNNNNNNNNNNNNNNNNNNNNNNNNNNNNNNNNNNNNCCAAAGUUGAGGGGUAUUUUUGACCCUUUUCCCUAAAAUAAAUCCGAUCUUGGAAGAAAAAAAUGCAUCAAACAUUUUUAUUUAGAACCAGCGAGCAGUCGAAUGAGACAAUACAGUCAUACAAGGGUAUGGCAACACUCAAUUUUCAAACUUUGCAAUGUUAAGUUUAUUUUAAUUCUCCGAUAAAAAAAAAGUUCAUAUGUCAAAUAAAACUUAUAAUACUAAGCCAGGCUAACUCGUUCAUUGCCCAGCCUUAAAAGUGGCACAUAAUGGACUAAUAAAGAGCCUACAAGUGACAUAAUUACCGAGAAGCUUAACACCACAAGAUUCAAAAGUCUUCUUUACUUUAAACUUCGUGUCAAGUCAAAACCAGGCAAACAAAUUGAAACGGAGGGAGCAUUAUAUUAAUUUGAAUAGUGAAUCUACUGAACAUGAGCAGAUGGGAAUUCCAAGGUCAACAGAGGCAACGUAUGACAAUUUGUUGGAGCAUUAUGUGGCACAAGCUGCUCAUAAAAUAACCUUUUUGCUGAUGAAAAUAGUACAAAAGAUGCACAUGCUGAGUCUCCUAUAAAUUGGUAUAAGUCUUCAUUAGAAUGAUCAGUAAUUUAAAAACAAUACUUAAUUCAAUACACCUAAAAGUGCAAAGAACAAAGUAGAAACAAAUAAUCAAGGAAGAGAACUCCUAGGAGAAAACACUUAUUUUGAGGGAAUCACAAGGGAACUACAAUAACAAGAACAGAUAACAAAUUUCUACCUAGACUAUUCCCUCCAUAUCAUAGUAAGGCUAGUGACUCCAUGAGAUUGUAUUCUAUAUAAACCCUUUGCAAAAAUAUGAAAAAAUGUUCAAAAUAACCACGUCGACAUCACAUGCACACACAUAGACAGUGAAAAACUCACCUCACUAUCCAAACACCUUUAGAAAGAAUAGAAUGGCCACUGGAGCAGCUGCAAUGAUGCUUCAGUGUGUCUUUGACGGAAGCUUGUCCAUGUCAGAUAUGGAUAUCGAGAGAUGACCUUGCCAUAAAAACUGCAGUUGUGCAUUGCACAAACAGAAGGGCCGGGGAUAUAUCACAGCCAAGCACUUGUGUCCAUAGUAGGAAUAUAUCAUUCCCCAAAAGGCAAAUCUGGAAAGAUAUGAUUUUGUCAAUAGAAACUCCCAAAUUCACUUCUCCAUCUUCAUCGUCUUGAGAUAAUUAAUCAGUUGGGAGUGUACAGCAUACAGCUCCAAUGUUAGCUAGUAGUUGAUAGAUUUUCCUUUGUACAUUCUGGUAAGUACAUGUAUACUUCAGUAUCCGCUUCAUAGGUGAUGCAAAUUUACAAAAGAAAGAAAUGCAACUUGUUUUCUUUCUUUCCAGGAUUCAAAAGAUUUUAACUUUAGCGAACACUGAGAAUGCAGCAUUUGAAUUCACAUUGUACACGUUCGUUAGUAGAAUUAGUUUUUGUUCACUAACAGAGUUUGUACACUGAUUCUAAACUUACCAUCACUUCAUCUUUCACAUUCUUUUCUUCUGUCCUGUUAGGCUCCCAUAGUCCCCGAAAUUAGUCCACUGGUUUGUUAUUUACACUUCUCUCAUCCUCAUUGUUUAACAAAUUCUGUUCCUCGUAGUCUAUUAAAUUUCGUUAUUUCACUAAGACAAAUGGUUUGUUCAUAGUUCAUUCUGCGUCAUCAGUAAAGUCAAAGGGAAUAAUGUCGGAAUGGCCUACUUCUAUGUCUUUUCUGAACUUACAUUGCCAUUCACAAUAUACAAGGAAAUACUUUGUAAGCCUUUUCUAAAUCAUCUGUCACUUUCACCAGAUCUGUUUACUACUCAUCCAAAUGGAUUUGUAACGUGUUUUCAACUGCUCUUUAAAUAUAUGCAAGGGUUAAUACCAAAAGCAUCCAAGAUAGAGAAAUCAAAAAAGCAACUCAGUGCACUAAGCUUCUACUGAGUAGGGUCACAGUCUUACCUUGCAUUUCUGCAAAGAGGUUAUCUCCACAGCUCGAACCCAUGACCUCACAUAGCAGUAACUUUACCAAUUACGCCAAGCUCCCCUUCUCAAGAUGGAAAAGCUAUGUCAAUAUUUGCACAAAAGUCUUAUCAUUCAGGGUCUACAGCCAUCAAUAAUGCAGUUGAACUUGUAUGGAAACCCCACCACUUGAAGGGCCAGAGAAGGUUUGUAAUUUUGGUAUAUUUUGUAUAUCUUUAGUUUAAGACCGCAAGAUUCAAAAGUCUUCUUUAAUUUCUUGAAUUUCGUGCCAAAUCAAAACCAGACAAACAAAUUGAAACGGAGGGAGUAUUACCUUAAUUUGAAAAGUGAAUCUACAGAAAUUGAGUAGAGGGAAUUCCAAGGUCAACACCAGCUCCACUUGCUUAUGAAAACAGUACAAAAGAAUCUGCACUUGCUGAGAUUCCUAUAAAUUUGUAUCAAGCUUGAUUAUAAUAAUCAGUAAUUUUGGAAUACUGAUAUACACAAUUGUUUAGCCUAUGCUUACUUUAAUCUUUUCAUUUAUCUUUCUUUUUUCGAGGGUAACUAACACAUCGAAGUACUAAGAACAAAAGCAUAUUAGAGAAGUUCCCAAAUGAAAAACAAUACUCAAUUCAAGACACCUACAAGUACAAAGUACAAAGUAGAAACCCGUAAUCAAGGAAGAGAACUCCUAGUAGAAUACACUUAUUUUGAGGAAAUCACAAGAGAACUACAAUAACAAGAACAUAUUAGUACUUCCAAAUUCAAGAUAUGAUUUUGUCAAUAGAAGCUUCCAAAUUCACAUCUUCAUUGUCUCGAGAUAACUAAUCAGUCAGGACUCAGGAGUGUAGUACAGCAUACAGCUCCAAUGUUAGCAAGUAGUUGAUAGAUUUUCCUUUGUACAUUCUGGUAAUACUUCAGUAUCCACUUCAUAGGUGUUGUAAAUUUACAAAAGAAAAAGGAAAUGCAACAAUUCUUACUCUUCAUGAUUUCUAUGAGCAAAUGCUCCUUAUUUUCUUACUUUACGUAAACACUGUGAAUACAGCAUUUGAAUUCUGAAAUUGAUCACAUUGUACACGUUCGUUAAGUAGAAUUAGUUUUAGUUCACGAACAGAGUUUGUACGCUGAUUCUAGACUUUUAUUUUCCCUUUGUAUCUGUUAAUAGGUAUAACUUGCUAUUUCCACUUCUCAUCCUCAUAGUCUAUCCUUCACCAAGACAAAUGGUUCGUUCAUAGUUCAUUCUGCUUCUUCUUUUCGUCAUUUUUUGUUACUAGUUUCUCUAUACUUUAACCAAUUUAAGAAUAAUUUACUACUGUUAAAACAAUGUAUCGCUUUACGUCUUUGAGAUUAUAAAACUAAGCUCAUUCAAUAAAGUCAAGGAGAAUAUCAGGAUGGCUUUUUUUUAAUGUAUAUUCUGUACAUCAAAUACAAGGAAAUACUUUGUAAUCUUUUUUUUAACACCAUCUGCCAGUUCCACUGGAUCAGUCCAAAAUUUCAUUUCAUCGGUUUCUCCAUCUCCAGAAAAGGCUUGAAUACUAAUAUUGUCUCCUCAGAUUUUCUCGUAAAUAUCUCUCCUUUAUGUUCUUCUGAUACCAUUUGUCAAAAUAUAUAUAUAUGUCAGAUUUGUGUUUGUGAGUGUGGUAAUAAUCGAAGGGGUGCUUUGACGUAGUUGGUAAAGUUGUUGUCAUGUGACCAGAAGUCUGUUGAAACAGGCUCUUGUAGAAAUGCAGGUAAGUCUGCAUACAAUUGACUCUUGUGGUUCAUCCCUGCCCUGCCCUGGACUCCGCGUAUAGCGGAAACUUAGUGCAUCGAGCUACCUUUUUUGGAUGUAAAAAUUCCAAAUGGGUUAAUACAUGUUCUCAACUUUUCUCCAAAAAUAUGAGAUUUAAUACCAGAAAACAGUCGAGAUGGGAAAGCCACGUCCAUAUUUAGCAUAUGCAAGAAAAAUUUAUGGAUCGAGAAUGUCAAACUGAGAAGAGAUGCAUAGUACUAACAGCAAUAUAUAUUCACCUAAAAAUAAUUCUGAUCGUGCAAACACAGAUUUCAGGUCAUUUAUGAGAAGAAACAAAGCAUUUCUCCAUUUAAGCAAAUAGACUUCUAGCCCGAAAUUAAGCAAAGUACAUGGAUCUUGGGAAGUUCUAACAUGCCUCGCGGAAUCCAUUUGAACGACUGGUUCAUCAUUCAUACGCUGCAUCAAGCAGUUUUAAAACAGAACCAGCAUAGUUGAAUGUGCAACAGAGUCACACAGAAACUACAGCUAGUUGAAAUAAUGGAAAUUUCAAUAUAUUUGUAUUUCUUUUUCCUCCCUUUUCAUCUUUUUUCAUUAAAGUCCGUGUUGUAUGUGCAUUUUGCAUUUAAAGCCCCAACAAACCUUAGAGCUUUUUUGCGCCUUUUGCUUUUGAUAACACUGUCAUUGAUAUGAAAGAGAGUAAUUGCUCAACUAUCUACUAACCUUCUACCUUAAUCCUCGACCUCCAUACUCUCCUAUUCAGGAUCAUGCCCUCGAUAUAGAUGAAGAUGUACUAGUAAUUUAAAAGAUCUUGAUACAUUCAAUUAUUAGUCUAUGAUAUAUGUUUCUUGUUUCUUAUUGUAAUUGACAUAUCCAGCUAUUAAGAACAAAAGUAGAUUAAAAUACUUCUUCCAAAAAAACUACUCAAGUCAAGACACGACUACGUAUGCAAAGUACAAAGUAGAAACCCAGAAAAACUAAGCUAACGAGAUCAAAUAUAGUAUUAAAAUGUUAAGAUUCUUUCUCUCUUGGUCCCGGAGGCAAGGAAGAGAACUCCAAGGAGAAAUCAAGUACUUCGAGGGAAUCGUUAGAGAAGUACAAUCACGCCAAUGCUAACCAGUUGCAUAAGACAAAUAAAGCAUGUAAGAUUUUCAGUCAUUCAAUUACAAGUAAGUACAUCAAAAAAUUAUUCCAAGACUGCAGGAUGGACAAAAGAAUCAUAGGAAAAAACGUCUGUUUCAUUGGUAAUAAGAUAACCAAAACAAACAGAAAACAGCCCGAUUUUUCACCUUGAUUCUACCAAAAUCCGCAAAGUUGGACAUUUAAAUUAAUGUUUGUUAGCUCUUAUAUAAGCCUUAUAAACAGACAAAGAAUUUCAAGAACAAUCAAACUUUACCUUUCAUAGUAGGGAAGAGGACGAUCGAGAGAGAUGAACAUGACUAGUGGAGCAGCUGAAAUGAUGGUUCAGUGUGUCGUCUUUGAUGGAAGCUUGUCGAUGUUAGACAUGGACAUCGAGAGGAGGCCUUAUCAUCGCAACUGCAGCUGUGCAUUGCAUCAAAAGAAGGCGAAACAACUAAAUACUUGCGUCCACGGUAGGAAUAUAUCACCUAAAAGGCAAAAACAGAAAGAUAUGACAUUGUCAAUAACAGCUUCCAAAUUCUCUUCUCCAUCUUAUUCUUCUUCCAAUAUUCACCAGUCCCAAAUGUACAGCAUAUAACUCCAUCUUUAGCAAAUAGUUGAUAGAUUUUCACUAAGUUGCUCGAACUCAUACUACUUUUGAAGGAUCCAACACGUACCUGAUGAUCACAUUUUUGAAGAGUCCGAGCAACAUAGGAUUUUCGAGCAUAGUCAACUCUCCGAUGGAUUGAGUAGUUUGUACUCUGGUAAGUUCAUGUAUACAUCAGUGGCAACUUCAUACUUACUAGAAACUUAAAAAACGAAAAAAUGUUUUUCCUCUUCAGGAUGUGUAUAUGAGCAAAUCUUCCAUUCAUUUUCUACUUCAGAAAAAUAAUGUACACUGCAGGGGCAGAGCCAGGUUGGGCCGAGGGGGUUUAUUUGCGAAAAAUUAUAUUGUUAAUAAAUGGUUAAAAUGAUAUCUUAUGCAUAUAUAGUAAAUGUUGAAACCUUUGACUUCUUCGUAUGUUUACUUCUUCAUAUUUUGAAUCGAAUUAAUAGAUAUUAUAAGUUGUACUAAAAUAUCAAAAAAGUAGUCCCCACCUAGUCUCUCUUUGUGUGGCCUGCACUCUCCACGUAAUCAAAUUUAUCUAAUCUUCUCAAACUCUCUAUUACUCUUCUCCACCACCAUGCACCGUCGUCAUCAUGGGCUGCUCCGCCACCCUCCUCCCUACUCCUCCUCAUCUCCGCCGUCACUCCACCUCCCCCUUCCCUCCUUCUCCCCACCUCAACCGCCGCAACCUCCUCUUCCUCUCCACUACUCUCACAUUUCCUUCAACCAUCUCCACCUCCGUCGCCGCCCCACCGCCGUCACCGGACACCACUAUCACCGAACGAGUCUUCUUAGACUUCAGUAUAUGUCCUAAUUACUUCACAAACAGGAAUCUCGGAGAUGAUCUCUCUAAUUGCGCUGAUUCUGAACCAAUUGGUCGACUUGUUCUAGGGCUUUACGGUAACCUAGUUCCGAUUACUGUGUCGAAUUUCAAAGCUAUGUGUACUGGUUCAUCUGGAUCGACUUAUAAGGGUACUUUGGUCCAGAAAAUAUUUCCGGGACAGUUUUUUAUGGCGGGGAGACAGGGGAGAAGAGAUAAAGGAGAAGUGAAACCGCCAUUGAAGUUAAUUAGGAAUGUAGAGUCAAUUGAAUCUAAAGCUUUUCUUUUGGAACAUUCUAGAGCUGGAGUUGUUUCAUUGCCUUUAUCUGAGAAUGAUGAUGAUGAUGAUCUUAAGCUGAAUCCAAAUUAUCAUAAUGUGGAGUUUUUGAUUACUACUGGACCUGGACCUUGUCCUCAGCUUGAUAGCAAGAAUAUUGUUUUUGGAACUGUUCUUGAAGGUGAGUUCUCAGAAUCUACAAAUCUAUCUCCUUUAGUUCAGUUUAACUUAUAUACAUUGAGGGCAAAGUCUGUCGGGAACAGCCUCUCUACCUCUGAGGUAGGGGUAAGGUCUGCGUACAAGAUAGGAGUAAGGUCCGCGUAAACUGUACAUUCCACAUUCCCAAGACACUAUUUUGUGUUGUACACUGAAGAUGUAAAUGAAUUUUAUCUAUUAGUCUAUUUGAAUGUGUUGUAGAAGGUAGCAUGCCUUAUAUUCGAAUUAGUUAUCUCGAUUGUUAUUGAAAAUUACCAUAGUUAUCUUAUAGGUGAUUGAGUUGUCAGUGUGUAGAAGUUAAAACACUUUAGUUAAUCCCAUUACAGUCCUCCACCUUAUAUUACACUGAAAAUGUAAUGAAUGUUUACAUAUUGGUCUAUUUUAACCUGUUGUAGAAGGUAGCAUGCCUUAUAUUCGAGUUAAUAAUUUCAAUUUUUAUGGAAAAUUAUUGUAGUUAUCUUUUAGGCGACCAUAGUGUAAAAGGUCUUUUAUAUUGUUAGUGUAAUAGAAGUUGAAAACUUUAGUUAAUCGCACUAUACUAUACUUUACCAACUGAGCUAACAUUGGGAGACUUAUACUCUUUUAGUUGGCACAUGCAUGUUUAGUGUAAAAGGGUGCUUCGCCGUAGUGUUUGUCAAUGUUGUGACAAAGUAAAUAUUUGCUUAAGAAAAUGUUAACUUGCUAGUCGAGAAGUGAUCUUUACAUUUAGAUAUUCGUAAGGUAAAAUGACGUGGUUCUCCAAUUGAUAGUACGAGUCAAUACCUCCAUGUGCCUAUCUACCCUACUAAAGAAGAUCGAUUUAAAGGUUAAAUAGAGGUAUAUUUGAUUGGAGAAAUAUGGAGGAACAAGGAAUACUUCUAGAGUUAUCAUUUUUAUUGAGUAAUGGGCCUAAUAAAACUGGAUGGAUAGAGUAUUCAUAUAUUUGUCCCCAAGUAAUCUAGAAUUUAGGCAUUGUUGAUUGAUCAUAUGGAUCUGAAAUAGUUCUAGACUAGAAUCAGUCUAUGACUUUGCUAUUGUGUCGUUCACUUUGAGGUCCUUUAUUACUUUAAUGAUAAUAAAAUUCAAAGCCGUUUUCUUUAGUAAAUAAUUUAUUUUUAAGCAAAACCUCACCUAUCAUCCCGAUGUAUCAAAUUUUGCUCAUUGUAUCUUUUGGUUAAGUGAUUAAAGACUUCACUUUUAACGGUUCAAUCAAAAGAAGUACUCCCUCGGUUUCACUUUGCUUGUCUCCCUCGGUUUCAAUUUGUUUGUACUUUCGUUUUAAGUACGUUUCAAAAAGAUCAAUGUCUUUUUACUUUUUUGGCAACUCUUUAGUUUGAACUUUCCACCUGGCAUGUUUAAGACUACAAAAUGAAACAAUAUUUCGGUACAUUCUACAUAUCUUUAGUUUAAGACUGCAAGGUUCAAAAGUCUUCUUUACUUUCUUAAAUUCCUUGUCAAGUCAAAACCAGACAAACAAAAUAAAGCGGAUGAAGUAUUAUAAUAGAUGUCCAAGGCACUGAAAUCCUUGGGCUAUCUCAAACUUUGUUGUCUGUAUGGAUUUUUUCCAUCUCCUAUCCUUUUAAUCAUCAUUUCUGCUGCUCAAACCAAUAACAGAGGCACCUCAGUCUUUUGGAAACAGCUGUAAGGUCUGGGUACACUAUGUUGUUGGUGUUGUUGGACCAAACUUCUAUUAACCACCUAAGACAAUAUGCCAGAUACGUAAACUUGAAACUGAUUCAAGCAGAUAGGGACAAAUGAUGACCAAAAAUUUCAGUGAAUGGCAUGUCAGUGAAAUGUUUGCAAGUUCCGAUUUUGCUGUUAGCUACUAAAAAAAUUGACAAAAAUCACAGAGGGAUAACAUGUCUCAACAUUGACUCUACCAAACAUGGCAACCUAGGUAAUGAAAAAUAGUAGGAAAAUAAAAAAUUUAGUCAACUACAGGUCGUUCCUAGCAGUUGUUAGAUUGAAAGAAAAGGGUAGGUUCACUCAUGACUAAGUAGGCAAAGUAUAUAGAUAUACCUAGGAGUAUGAAAAUGGAAGGGGAAAUGUAAUAUCUUUCUAAUCUCAGCUCGAAGCGGUAGCUAAAUGAAGAAUAACUAAAAGGAGAGAAUUCUUUCUGGAACUUAAAUUUAAACAGAUGAAAGGAAAGGACAUUAUGGGCUAGUAUGGGACUGGAAAGUUGAGAAAUAAAGGCUUUAGGAACAAAGGGAGUAAAUGAAGAAAUGCAGAAAAAGAGAGGAAUGAGCUGAAAAUUGAAGAAGCAGGGAAUGACAGUAGAGAAUAAUAGGAGCAAGAAGGGACGAUUACAGGAGUGGAAGGUGGGGAAGGAAGAAAGAGAAAUCUGGCAAAAUUUUGCAUUUUCUUUAUUGAUUCUAAAUCGAUAUGUAUACAUCUCUAGCAAAGAGUAUGCUUAUAGCAUUUAACUUUUAUACACCGAUAGAAGAAGGAAUUUCUAAAUGUGCAGCUUUCUUAAAAAUCAAAUACAAGUAAAAUUGUCCAUAGUAUGUUUUUAGAUUGGAUAUCUGGAUAAAAGGGUAAGUAACCUUCUAUAAUCAAUUUUUUAUUUUUUUAAUAAAGGACCUUCUAUGAUCAAUUUUAAACUAAACUAAUAGUAGUACGUUUUUGUCAGUGUAAUAUUAAUAUAAUUCAAUUCAUGCUUAUAUGGGGUGAGACGUGUGCAUAAUGACUUUCUUUGGUUGCUGGUCACAGCGCUGCAUUAGAUGCUGAUUGACUUGCAGAAGAUCAAUACACUAUAUCAUGUAGCGCCAGUUAAAUAGCCGGCUUUUAGUGAGUUGAUCAACACUGUAAGAGAAGUUUAAGUUUACCUCGACUUUUCAAGUCUCCUGCACUAUUUGGCUCACAGUAAGACACUUGUGGGUGCUUAGGCUUGUGUGAUAGGAUCCAGAGUGAACUUGUUAUGUGCAAUUAGGACUUAUUAGAUAAAUGUUGUUUCAAGUUAAACAUUAACCUGCUGCUUAAUAUGGGAUGUGUUCUACCAGGUCAAAAUAGGUAAAGAAAUUGAAGGAACAAACAUGAUGCCAACAAAUGCAUAAAUCGAGAUGGUUCUUUCCCAAUAGUUAAGGCAAACAGAACUUUUAUGGAGUCGGUUUGAAAAUUAUAUAGUACUAACACCGACUGAGAAGACUUUACCUACUGGCUACAGCAUAGAACAAAUAUUGCUGAGUGAUUUUGAGGCCUGGUGAUAUUAGAAGUUGCUCACACACCAUCUUAAUUAGUCAAUUCACCUAUCUGUUUCUUUGUGUUGCUCUGUUGUUUUGCAGUAGAUAUUGCUAUGGCUGGUGUAUAAUUGUCAGUUUUAGACAGGGAUCAAGUCUUGCUCUCUAUUAUUUAGUCAACCGUAUUGUAGAGAAAAGUAGGACGAGAAACUAGGCAAAUUCUUGUUAAAUAAAGACUAAUGUAAAAGGUAGUUGUCUGAACAUGCUGUGAUGUGGGCUCAAUUCACAUCUGUGAACAGUGGAAAGCUAUGCUUUCAACUUAGUUUUCGCAAGGCUUCAAUGAGCGAAACAAGAGUAGAGAGUCUGCCUAGUGGAAGGACCCUUCACAGCUUCACCUCCAACUAAGGCUUGGAGUUUGAGUCUCCAUGAAGGAAAAGAAGGAAAAGAAGACUGUUCGCCCCCGGGAAGGGGAGUAUGAAGAUGGGACUCCAUAUAAAAAUAAAACUAACGAAGACCUUAUCGGAUGGUAUAAAACGACUCUAUGCUCGAGAAGGAAGAAACAAAAGAAAACGAAAAUGAUUAGUUCCUUGCUGGAUAUAUGUGCAGCGAAAGCACUGCAAUACUAGAAGUGACAUGCCACUACUUGUGUACACUAUUACAUUUUUCUGCAUAGUUACUAACAUGAAACUUACAUGCUGAAACAGUAUCCGUCUGUUACGUCAAAAGCUCACUUUUUUUGCCUUUUCUUGGAGUGUACUGCAGGUUUGGAUAUUGUGACAACCAUAGCUGCCAUUCCCACUUAUAAACCAUCCGAAAACAUUCGACAAUAUAAUGAUUUUGCUGAGCUUAUUGGAGAUGGGAGAGCAAAAACUGCUCGCGCAAUCUGGAAUAAGCCACUCAAGACUGUUUAUAUCAGUGAUUGUGGAGAACUCAAAGUAGCAAAGCCUACACUUUCUCCUAGCCUACCUUGAUCUGUUCAGGUUCCUUAUUUUAUUUCCAUAUCCACAUUGUUACCAUGACUUGUAAAGGUUUCUCUUUUCUGUAUGUUACAUUGACAGAAGAGGAUUUACAUAAUGCAGAGCUUUUAAGUUGAGAAGUCCAUAUUUGUUCAGGGUAAUUUUGGCAGUCAAAAUUAGAAAGAGGGAUAAUGGGCUUUCUUUUAACACACACACACAUGUAGUCGUUUUGCCACCUAUUAAGAAAAUAGGUACGUGCUGCUAGUGGGAGGUGGCAAGUAUCCCAUGGAAUUAGUCAAGGUGCGCGGAAGCUGGCCUGGACACCACAGUCAUAAAAAAAAAGGUCCCAAAAAAUGGUCAGUGUCUCAUCAACUUAUACCAGCUACCAUGCAAGAACCAAUAGAAAGGAUUUCAACGCCCCACCCUAGAAAAGAAGUAGAACACACAAUCACCUACAACCUUUCUUCACCAAGCGACAUCGUCAUCACCUACAACCUUCCUUCAACAAGUAACAUCAUCGUGUGCUCCACUUUUGUUACCCUCAUAUAUACAUGGUGGGGAGAGGAGAGUAGUCAGAGUGAGUAUGUGCCAUUAAAGUGAGUUUAUCCUUCUCAAUGUCCAUUUGGGCUUUAUGGUAAUGGACCAAACCAUGGAGAUAGUUCUACUCAUCUAAUGAAUAGAUGCAGGCCCAAGCCCUUGACAAGACAUUACCAAAAACCUACAAUUUUCACUUUCAUAAACUCCCAAAAAAUGAGAGAUAAAGUUGGAUAUUCUAAGAUAUUAAUAAAUAAAAAAGGGUUUUAAGUAUCAGGCUUAUACCAUUACGCUCACAAGUAGAAUAUUAGCUUGAUCCUACCUUCAUACACUUAUAAUAGCAUAUUAGCUAAUGUCUAUCACAUGUACGAUUUAUAUAACAUAAACUCGAAAAAUUAAUUAAGAAAACAAUAGGAAAGAGGAAAAACAAAGCAAGCUCCCUACCCUACACUAUUAGAAAAAAGUUAAAUGAGGUAAGCCAAUAGAAAAAGCAUCUAAAUUUCAAGUUGACAAAGUCAACUACACUGCUCCUAAGAUUCAUAGAUUUUUAUAUUUUUCAUAUUUUUGGCCAAAAGCAAAUUCUUUUCUCACACGUAAUUGACCAAUGAACAAAAAUAAAAGUCCAAAUUCCAUUUUUCUUCCACACAAAAACAUUGUGGUUCAACACAUUACACCACAUCUUGUGUUCCAAAAAUUUGACUCACUCUAACAACAUAUAGUAAUCAUUUCAUAAAUUAUCACUCAACUUUAACUUUACAACACUAAAGCCUAUUUCUAUUAUACGAAAAAUCACUCAACUUUACCUAGUCCAUUACAAAAAAGUCACUCGAGCUUAUUUAAACAAUACGAAAAGUCACUCGGAGAAACCAAAUGUGAUUUUCUUUUAGUAACUUUGAUAUAGUAAAAGUAAAAGUUAAGUGACCUACUCCCACAUAAUCCUUAAAAAAAAAAAAAAAAAAAAAAAAAAAAAGGUAGUAGUAUAAGUAGUAGAUGCCAAUUUUUUUCUUCAUUUUGCAAAAUAAGCUAAUUUGGAGAGAAUGAAUAAUGUAUCCAAGGUUGUAAACAAACAAAUGAUCCAUUCAAGAAAGUAGUAGUUGUUGAAGUCAUUUCAAAAAGAAAUUUAAUGAGGAAAUUUCCUAUUACACAAAAUCAUGCUUGAUUGGGUGGGGUGGUGGGGUGGUCCAUAGAGGUAAAAAGAUGUCUCAUGAUGAUCAUGAUAAAGGGAUAAGAUUUCACAAGUACAACAAAAAGGGGACCACUGACACUUGCCUAUACCAAAGCCUAAAUUGAAAAGAAGAAAAGAAAGAGAGGUCCCCAAAAGGCAAAUCCCUAUUUGUGUAGACAAGCAAUAAGAGAGAAGGACCACAACCCCAAGAAUCAAGCAGCAUGCCUUCAACUUGGUCAUCAAUCAUCUCAACCUGUCUCAUCACUAAACUAUUCCUUUUUUUUUUGGUUUCCCUUCUAAUAAUCGAUAUUCGUUUUAGGGUCUCGAUUAAUAUAAAAUCAUGUCGUGUAAGGUUAAUUAGAAGAGGAAGUGCUCUCUACGAUCAUAAUUUAUUGGGGAACUUAUGGAAAUCUGAUACAUUUGGGGGCUAAUUACAUUCUAUUUCAAAAGUUUCCUCAAUUACAAUUUUUUUGGAUUUUUCAUUGCUCUUGGAUACAUUCUUUUGUUGUCCAAUACAUUGCAAAUGACACAUUACUGAUGUAUUCGAGAAGGGAAGGAUGUAUCCGAGAGGAGAUAGGGAUGUAUUCGAGAAGGGAUAGGGGUGCAUCUGAAAGGGAGGGAUGUAUCCAAGAGCGGAUAAAGAUGUAUCUGAGAGGAGAUUUUUGUAAUAUUUUUAAAUAAUAGAAAAGUUCUAGAGAAUCUGAUAUCUUAAGUUGUGUAUUUAUGUAAAUGUUCUUAAAAAAAAUUCAUUAAUACGGCUCGAACUUGAAAUCUUUAAGGCAUAAUACAUAAACAUGACCCUUAACUUGGCUUCAGCGGAAACUAUGCCCUCCAACUUUAAAUGUGCACAAGUGGACACUUAAAUUUGUAUAAAAUUGAACAAGUAGACACAUGUGUCCUACCUUCCAUAAUACACGUAGGACAUAAAAUUGUAAUGUAGGACGAAUGUCUCUAUUUGUUCAUUUUUAUACAAGUUUAAAUGUUUACUUGUGCACACCCAAAAUUAAAAGUCAUAAUUGCCAGUUGACGCCAAAUUAAGGGUCAUAUUUAUAUAUUAUGACAAAUUUUUAAUUAAGGAUGGAUGGAAGAUAUCAUAUCCACCCAACCACAAUCUUCAAUUCAAGUUCUAGAUAUACAUGUGAAAAAUAAAUUAAAUAGGAUUAGAUAUGCAUUUUAAUUCAAUUCGGAAUUCAUAAAGUUUGACGGUUACAAAUCAUGCAUAAGAUAUACAUGUUUAUAGUUCAUUAAAACUAAAGAAUCACUCUUGGCUUCAACUUAGUCAUGAAUAAUGCUUUAAAACGCGAUGUAUCAUGUCAGCAACGUGUGUUUAAUAGGCAAAAUUUGACUCGUACGUAUUUAGAUCUUAAUUGAACUACCUAAAUAAAAAAUCGUAACUUUAAAUAAUCGUAUAUAUAAUCCAAAUUUUAUAUGAGAAAAAUAAGUAUUCAUAAAAUUCAAAAUUCAUCGAGUCUAAAUUAUGAAUUCCACUAUAUUUAACCCCACAUAUACACAAAUUUUGAUAUUUUAUUUUAUUUUUUAAAAAUCUUGGCACAUUUGUACGUUGGUGAUAUGAUGGAUGUUUCAAAGGGGACCAGGACCACUGACGUUUAGCCAAUUUUGUGUCUGUUUUUUAAGGCUUCUAUUGUAUAGCUUUGGGAUGCCAAAGUGACACAUAUUUUGUGUUUUGAGCUUUGGAUAUAUAAUAAUGGAAGCUAUAAUUAAAGGAUUUGAAUUUAGUGACGGAAAUAGAUUUUGAAUAUAAACUAAUGGAAGUUAUAAUUGAAGGGUUCGUGUUUAGUGGCAAAGAUAAAGGUUUUGGAUAAGUGUUAAAUAGCGCCGUUUAGUGGCGUGCAGGGAGUAGUUGUCUUGUUGCUAGUAGGUGCGACUAUGUGAGUUGACAACAAUACACCGUGUUAAGUUAAAUUGUUUGAGUUAUACUGACGGAGAUAAGAUUUUGGGUGUAAAAUAAUUAAAGCUAUAAUUGAAGAGCUUGAGUUUAGUGAUGGAGACAAGAUUUUGGAUAUAAAAUAAUGAAAGUUAUAAUUGAUCAAAGGCUCAAGUUUAUUGUUGGAGAUAUAUUUUCGAUAUAGAGUAAUAGAAGCUAUAAUUGAAGGUUCGUAUUUAGCGGCAGAGACAAAAUUUUGAAUAUAAAAUAAUUGAAGGGUGAAGAGAAGAUUUUGGAUUAUAUAAUAAUUUAAGCUAUAAUUGAAAGUUUCGAGUUUAGUGAUUGAGACAAAAAAAAAUUAAAGAAGUUUGAUAUGUAUUAUGUAUAUACAUUUUUAAAAAAUGAUCUUAUAUAUAGAAUGCAUUUAUUUUUAUGAAGAAGGUUUAGAUGUUCCCAUCUAGUUCCGCCUCCUAUUCGAGUUUAGGAUAUCGAUAAGAUAUUAGAAAAAAACAUUUUACCUUCUUGUAAAUUUUAUGUAUUUGAAUAGCUUAAGCCUGAUAUCAAAUACGAAAUGAAAAUAAAAAAUUAAAAAGUUGUGAACUAUAAAAUGAUGGUAAAAAAUACGAAUAAUCACUUUUUUUUUUGUAAGUUUCACAAAUUAAUUAUCAAUUAUUUCAUUUUCCUACUGAACUAUCAGCGGUUGUUCCAUUUUUUUAAUUUGGACUAUCAUCAUUGUGUAUUAAAACACAACUAGUUGAGUAGAUAUUAACCAUUCACGUAAAAAUAAAAAGAACAAGAGAUAGUUGAAGGGUAAAACUUAUGAAAAUAUGACCCUUCGGGGUGGCCCAGUGGUUUGAGCUUGGGACUUUCAUGUUGGAGGUCUCAAGUUCGAAACCCCUUUGCCAGCGAAAGCAAGGGGUUUGCCUUCUGGGUUGAGCUCGUCGCACCAGGCUUGCCUAGUGCGGUUUACCUCUCCUAUGUGGUUUGCGAGCUAUUGCAUAGGAGCGGGGAUUUUACCCUGUGCACACUCAAAGGGUAGCGGCUACGGGUUUCCCUUGUCAUCAAAAUUUAUAAAAAAAAAAAAAACUUAUGAAAAUAUGAUCGUUAAUAAUUAACACAAAUAUAUAUUUUUUCUUAAAAACUAAUAUUUAUUUAUGAUGCUGAGCGAUGAACAUCUAUUGAUUAUUGAACAACUAGCACUAGGUAAUUAAUAAUAUUAAUAUUACAAAGAUCAUCUCAUUUUAGAAUAAUUAAGUGAAACUAAUCACAAUUAGAAACGUUAACCUUCAAAAGAACCAAAAAGGCAUGCCACGAUACCUGUUUUGUAAUUUAAUAUGUAUGAUUAGCCACUGAUGUAGGUCCUAAUCCUAAUUAAUUAACUAAUUAAUAUUUUCACUGUAUUUACGUUCUUUUUUUUUUUAAUGACGAUGACGUUAUCCUAAAAAGGAAAAUAACAUAAAAUAUCUCAACAUAAUCUAUCAAGUUGCCAAUUGUGGGAUUGAUAGAGAUUGCAAAUCUAUUUUAGUUUAAAUUAAAUCCCAACUCAUUGCACUUAUAAUGUUAAUUAAUUAAUAGUAGAAAGAAUAUUAUUUUUACUCCCUUGAUUAAUAAUAUAUUUUAUUUUGGUCCUUAUUAAUAGACUCAAAAUAUUUAACCUUUAAUUAAUUAAUAUGUGUAUCUUUCGUCAGUUUAUAUAUAUAUAUUAUUUAAAUACCAGUUGAUUGCAAUUAUAAUGUUAAUUAAUUAAUAAGAAGAAUAUCACUUUUUGGUCCCUUGAUUUUCGGUAAUUUAAUUUCGUGGAAGAAGAAGAAGCGGUUCACCAGCCACUACAUCUGUAGAUCCCAUCAAAUCAUUAAACCUAGCGGCUGCUCGCUCUUUGAUCAGUGAUUCACAAUAAUAGACUCAACAUAUUUAACAUUUAAUUUGAUCAAUCAGUAUGUGUACCUUUCAUUCAGGGGUGGAGCCUUCAUACGGUUAGGGAACCUUUGGCGGAAAAUGUUACUAUAUAAUUUUAUGUAUAUAUAAUAGAUGUCGAAUUUCCUUCGAUUAGUUCGUGUGUUUACUUCUUCAGAUUUUGAACAUCCUUAUUAAAAAUUCUAGUUCUGCUAUUGUUGUCAUCCGUUUAUAUAUGAAAUAUGUUAUUUGAAAUAAUCAAGAAGUAUAUUACCCUCAAAUAUGAAGUAAUAGUACAAAUUUAAAAUAACACAUAGAUAAUUAAAUGAUGAAACUGUUAAUUUUUUCUGAAAAUUUGUAAAUAAUGGAUCAAAAGUAUACAUUUCAAGUAGCGGACGGUUAAAUGUGCUUACUCAAAUAAUAUAGAAAUUAAAAUCAGACUUUAUCAAUAAUUGAGGAAUCAAAGUGUCACUAGGAAAAAAUUAAAAUUAGCUAUGAAUUUCGUUGUUAUUUUGUCUCUAAAUUUGUGAGAAUUCUUAAGCAAGUUGAUCAGAAAGGUACAUUUUAAGUAGUUGAAGAUGAAAUAUACUUGAUCAACUUAACACACAACGAUCAAAAUUACACAUUAUCAACAAUCGAGGGACUGCAGUAUCACUAUAAAAAAGAUUAAAUUAGUUAUGAAGUUCGUCUUUGUUCUGUUGCUAAAUAAUUCAUAGCUAAUAUAAUAUUUAAAUAAUUUAUCUUUCAUUCGUCAUAAAUUGUAUUAGCGAUAAAUUUUACUGAUUAUAAAAUUUAUCUGUCGCUAAUUUCUAUUUUUCUACUAAUAGGUUGCAAUUAUCUCUUAAUAGUACUAACAAAAGGGCUUAGUUGAAACUUGAAACUAAUAAAUGUGUUAUUAUCAGUCUUUUGUCAUGUAGUUGAAUUAAUCUUUUUUUUAUUAUAUACUUUUCAUAUUUUUAUAAUAUGUUAUUCUGAUGAAUAUUUUUGGUAUGAAACAAUGAUUAAUCACACAGAAUCCUUAUGAUUUUUUGUCAUAAGAAACAUAGGACAGGAUGAGACAAUGUUAACUGAUUCCACACACAUCAUGUUUUUACUUUAUAUGAGUGGAUAAUGCAUUGCUAAUUAAUUAUUAGUACUAAUUAAACAAGAUGAUAAUGCUUGAUUAUUUUUUAAACAUUUUCUUGGAUCACCUUUACAUACACACAAAUCCCAAUUAAUCAACUUUUUAAGCCCUAAUUAGGAUCAAUUACUAACACCUCCCCUCCUUUUUCAUCCACCUUUCAAAUUCACAUUUUCCAAGCGACCUAACUUCUUUUAAAAUUGAUUUCGAUCGGUCUCAAUUGCAAGCAUGAAGGAAUGAAAUCGAUCCAUUUUUCUAGCGACCUAACUCUCUUGUGUGCGUGCAAGCCUAAGCUAUUUUCGUGCUCUUUACUACUUCACUAAAAAUACAAGAUCCUUAAAAAAUAAAAAGAAAUAACUUAUUUUUUCUUAAUCAAUAAAGUAUACUCCCUUUAAAAUACCAACUAAUUUCUUCCAAUAUUGACUUCAACAUGUCUCACAUCUAUCUCGCGCUCGUGAAAGAGUAAGAUCCACCCUUUUUACCUAGCGACCUAACUCUUUUGUGCGCAUCCAAGUCUAAGCCAUUUUUUAUAUAAUACGAGUACACCAAAAAUACAAAUUCCUUACAAAAUAAAAUAAUAGUAGUACUUUUUUUUUUAUUAAAUCAAUAAGAGACACACGCUUGAGAUACAAACUUAUUUCUUUCAAUUUUGACUACCACGUUUUGAAUGUCUUAUAAUUAAUUAAUAUGGAAAUGACAAGAUAAUAAUAGUGGUUGUUAGGAGAUAUAAAUCAAUAAAUCAUUUAGAAGACAAUGAGAGACUAAUACGUGACAUUGUCAAUGCAUCCAAAACUCUCCAAUUCCAUAUAAUUGUAUUUAAUUUGAGAAAAAAUAAUCAUUUUACUCACUGAAUUAUUAAUUUUUUAUUUUCUAUUUUUGAUCCUUGUGCUCUUCAAUUAAUCAUGUUUAACUCUCGACCAAUAUAAUUGCAUAUGUAAUGCCCAUAGACAAAAUAGAGAACCCCACAUUAGGUGGGGGUGGGGGAUGGGGUUAAGAGUGGGUGAUAAUUAGGUGUGUGGGAGGGUGGAGAGGAUACGAUCAACGUGGAACGUCAUUUGUGAAACUUAUUUUCUCUGUUUCCAUUAUGAAAGUCAUUUUCUAAAUUUGUAAGGAACUUUUUUUUUUCUAGAGAAAACGUUUUCCUAAAAAGUUGAUCAACCAAAAUAUGAGAAAGGUGAGUUGUGACAUAAUUAAUAAUUAAUCGACACUACUUACAAAAUAUCGUAUGCAUAUUUUCAAAUUAUUAGUUGUAAGCAUUCUUUAGACCUUGAAAUUUUAUGGAACUCUACAAGGUGUGUUGGGAUUUCAAUUAGGAUUCUAGGAGGCUAUUCAACUCUAAACUCUAGUUUAUGUCUAUAUAAAUGGUACUAUAUCCCCUUGAAGAUGUAUCUCAAAUAUUCUGUAAAUUCUUUAAAUAUUUAUAGGGAGAUCAAUCAAAAUCAUCUUAGUUCGAGAAAAUACGUCACAAACGACUCUCGAAUCAUGGAUAAAUCUUAUGAAAAAAGAAAUCAUGGAUAAAUCGUAUGAGAAAUAAUCAAGGAAUCAACAAAUUUGUACUCACAAUCUUGAUGAAUAAAAUUGUUUCUUCAUAUUUUAUUUGUAAUUGCAACUUAUUUUUUGUCACUCUAAAAUUUAUUGAAAACACAUACAAAUUCUCUUUCAACAUAUUAAAACCUUGAAAUCUAAAUUCACAUCAACAAUUUUUUUUUAUCUUUGCUCUCCUAUUUGAAUAUCUCCAUUCUUAAAAAACCCAAAAAAAAAAAAGAGUCCAUUUUAGUAGUAGCACUUUAUUUAAUAGUAAUAAAAAAGAAUAUAUGGAGCUUUCAAAGUACAAUAAAUAAUAAAAUAUUUGGUGUCACUGUGUCAGUGAAUAUUGAUUUUGUCUUGUGUCACCAAAAAUGAAUUAGACAUGAAUGUGUGUGUAUAUAUAUAUAUAUACACUCCAUUUAUAUAUAAAUAUAUAUAUUUGUGUCCCCUAAAGUGGCAGUAGCUUGAGCUAUACUAGUAAUAUUUUUAGAUGAGGAAUUCUUUUUGAUUGUUACGUUUGAUGGAAAACAAUAGAAAAGAGAAAUGAAAAAGAAAAGUAGUACUCUCUCCGUCCUAAUUUAUGUAACAGCAUUUGAUUAAUAUCAUCUUAUUAAGUAUAAUAUUAGAAAAAAAAAGAAGUUAAAUUGUUAUCUUUGUCAUGAACCAAUCUCAUAUUGGUGAAAAUAUGUCAAGGGGUAAAGCAUGUUUUGGUGUCACACACUUCUCGUUCGAGGUUUCAACAAAUGCUAUGAAGCUUGACAAUAGAUAUGUACGUCCUUUUGUCUUUGGUAUAUACUAUAUAGUAUGCAUCGAGAUCAUUAUGAAAUUCACUUAAAAUAUCACGUUACACUUAUUCUUCAAAAGUUUUAAAAGUUUUUCGUGACUCGCUCAUUGGAUUGUCCUUCUUCAAAGACAUCACAAUCUCGCACUUAAAUAAGAAAUUAUUAUUUCACACUUUGAUCCAAAAAAAAAAACAAUCUAUAUUGGUGUUGUUUUACUCUUAUUGAGCAAACAAAGUUCAUAAUGGAAAUAUUUGAUAUAAGUCUAUCAUCUACCCAAUUGAUUUGACGUAAAUAUUAAGUGUUCGGCUUCUCAUUCGAUAUUCGAUAUCCACAUUGAAGUCCGAUUAAAUCUGAAUUCACGUCGGAAAGUCUUACAUUAGGAGGUAAAACACUCCCUAAUAAAGGCGACUCUAUAUCCAAAGGAUUCGAACCUAAGACUUUUUGAUUAAGAAUAAAUGAGUAUUUAUCACUGUAUCACAACCUCGUUAGUUUGUGUACUAUCAUACAUAACAAAUACUAAUAUGUCUUUAAUUUAUUUAUGUGAAUUCAAUUCUUUCAUUGAUUUGUCAAGUUGACCAAUUGAACAAGGACCAUAUAUGUAAUGACACAAAAUGUGUUGGUCCACUUGUAUGUAGUGUCAAACUCCUUGGCCCCUACAAUUAAAGCACACAAGGUACAUUUAGACUAGUGAAAUAAAUAGUGAACAUUAAGGAUGUGUCUGCUAUAAAGGAAAAAUAUUUUUUGAAAACAAAUACUUUUUUUUUAGUAUUUAAUAAGUUAAAAAAGAAAUUAUAUUAUCCAGCAAAAUAUGAAAAAUAUUUUCUAAGCAAAAAUAAAUAUGCAAUUUUGCUAACAUAAUUUUUCAUAACAUUUAGAUUAAUUAAAUAUGAAAAUUGAAAAAUAUUUUCGAGUAAAAUUCAAUAUUCAUUUUUGUUAACGUAUUAUCAAAGCAGAAUUAAUCUCAAUAAAAUAUUCCGUCCUAAGUGUGAAGGAGGGGUGCGUGAAGAAGUCCUACACCAAUAAUAGCACUUUUUUUGUUAUUUCAAUUUUAAUAUCAUGAUGUAUGGUAUGCAUAUUUUAAUAAUAUGAUAUUUGAUACGGUGUACAAUAUUUAUAAAAGAAUUGCAUUAUACCAUACUAAGUAUAUAUAUAUAUAUAUAUAUAUAAUAUUAUUGUUAUUAUAAUAAAAAAUAUAAACCAGCAUUAGCACAAAAUUAAUUGUUAAUGUUGGAACUUUGAUACUCUAUAUUGAUUAAAAUGUAUUUGUUGUUUAAUUUUUUUAAUAAAGGAAAUUAUUUGUAAUUUCUUUUGAAAUAUUUCUACAUAGAUGUGUUAACAUGAUAUAGUUGAAUUUUUUUUCUUGAAAAGCUGAGUUUAUAAUUCUAUAUUAUAUGAGUAUAUAUACAGUGAAAUCAAACAAACUAUGGUUAUCGAUUUAUCGUGCCACAAAAUAUCAAACCAUACUAAAUUAAUUACUCUCUUAGUCUCAUACUAGUUGAUCGCUUUUCAUUUAGUACGGUGCUUACAGAAAUCUUAAAUAAGAAGAUAAGUCUACUAAUUCACCUCUUAAAAAAACUUCUUGAGAAUUUUAUAAACAAAUGCGAACACUUUCAAAAAGAAAUAUUACAAGGAUAAUAUAGGAAAAAUCUAAUUAAUUCUUUUUUGAUUUAGUAAGGUAGACAACUAAUAUGAGACAACUAUUUUUAAGAUGAUGAUCAACUAAUAUGAGACCGUAGGAGUAGCUUUUAAUUUAGUAUAGUAAUAAUUUACUCUAUCCAUUUCAAUCCGUUUAUCUUACUUUUCACUUUGACUCCUUUUUGAUAAUUCAAUAAUUUCAUUUUUUUUCCCGAUGACAUAUUUAAGAUAACAAAAUUAAAAAUAUCUUGAUAUAUUUUAUAUAUUUUUAAUUUAAUUAAUUUUAACCAUCUUCCACACGUAAGGGUUGGCAAUAUUAAAUGUGAACAAGAACAAGCGUGUAAUAUGAAUAGUGGACUUCAUUAACAAAUGGAAAAAAACGUAUGAAAUGAUGUAAUGCGGCAGAUGAAACCACUCUUUCAUGAAUUAUAAAUUUUGAUUUUAAACCUCGUAUAAAAAUAAUCAUAGGUGAAAAAUUGCUUCCCCCGAACCAAUCUUACAAACUAUAAAUUCAACUCAAUCAAUCCUCAAUACGAAUAUCAAAUAUCAAGUGAAAAAAAAUCGUAAAAUAUCUAGAAAUAUAAAACAAAGAAGAAGAUUGAUGUACAACAAAGAUGAAGGCGUUGAUUGAUGAGUGAUUGCCAUAGCAGUGACGGCAACUACACCAAUCCAAUUAAUUAAAUUAAAUUAAUUUAAUUAAAAAUAUUCUCUUUGUCUCAAAAUAUGUGACACUUUUCAUUUUUAAGAGUCAAACAGUUUAAAUUUGAUCGAAAAUUUACGCCAAAAUCUUUAAUUUUUUUGAAAUGAAAUUUAUAUAUUUGUAAAUUACAUAAAAAGUAUUAUAAGUCACAAUAAUUAAUAAUUUAAAAUAUUUAAAAAAUCUAUAAAAAAUUUACGAUCAAAAAGAAAUUUGCUUGAAUCUCGAUAUUCAAAACAAACCACAUAAAAUGGGAUGGAGGAGUAAGAAAAAGAAGUAGGUAGGGGACCAAUCUAGCGUAGCUACUAUAAGUGGACACGUGGUGAGACAGAAAUGUGAGCCCCAUAAUCUUAUGUAAGUGUAGUAUUCAUAUUAGUUUUUCUUUUGUUUUUUCUUACUUUUUCGAGUCGAACAUCUAUCUGAAAUAGUCUCUAUAUUUUAAGAUAAAAAUAAGAUUUGCAUGUAUGCUAUGAAAUUGUAUUGAGUAUAAUAUCUAACUUGAAUCCUCAUCCUUUAACAUGAACCAACCCUAACUCGUUCGAUAUCUACCAAGGACAUAGGGUUCGACUCUGAUUAUACUCUAAAACUCAAUCCUGACCCCGACCCCAACUCUCCACCUAACCUGAAAUUAGACUCCUAACUUUGAUCUAGGAUUUGACUUUUGUCUCCGAUCCUGAUCCGGAUUCCAAGUUAGGGUUAGGAGUCUGGUCUUGAGUGGGGGUUCAUAGUUGUGUUCGGGGUCAGGGUCAUGAGUCUAGUCCAAAAUGAGGAUUGGAUUAGAAUUUGAGACAAAAUCUCGUGACAAUUUUAAAAAUUAUAUCCUAUAUUAGAAUUGGGAGUUGAGCUUUGAAUUGGGAUUAUUUAAGUCAAAAUUUGAGCCUCGUGUUAUAAUCGACAGUGAAAUCCCAACUUAGAAAUGGGAGUUGAAUCUCCAAUUGGGGUCAGGAUUGGAUAGUAAAAUUGUAAGAAAGUUUUAGAAAAUGUUGUUCUCAUUUGACAUAGGAAAGUUACUUUUAUUAAAUUGAAGGAAGAUGUUUAAAAAAAAUUGUUUUCAAAAUAUUUAAGCUUUUUAUUUUUAAAAAAAACAUGUCAUAUAAUUAAGGUGGACCAAAUAGUACACUAUUUUGCUUCUUGUUUUUUUAGACUUAGUUGGGUGCAUUACGGCGCGUGCUCCUGACAAUGGUCCCAAUCACACUCGGAAGCGAAGUCACGUAGGGUCAAUAGUAAAAUGUUAUAAAACAUUAUUUAUAUAUAACUAAAAUUAUUUUUUACUUAUAUAUAAUAGAUAUUUAAUUUUCUUUAUUUAACCUUUUUUUUCAUAUUUUAUAUAUCAUUAGUAAAAAUUCUGAAUCUACCGCAACGUUUCGUUUAUAUACUGGGAAACAGUACGGAAUUUGAGACCACUAUAAUAAGGCUAAUGCCUACCUUAAACAUUUUUUUUUGGCUUUUCAUUUUUACUGCUGUUUGGUGCGCUCUCUUUUUUACUCUUCUAUACUCUUUUUACAUUUCAUAAUCACGACCAACUAAAAAGAAUAAUGUAUCUGUUUGUAACAAAUUUCAAAGUGAUAGAAAAUAAAUUGUAAUUACUAAUAAAAUAUGAAGAAAUCACAAAUAAAAUAUGAAAAAACAUGGUUUUAUUGAUAAAUAUUACGGGUACAAAUCUCUUCCUCCUUUGAUUCUUCUCUCUUUUAGGAUUUAUCCAUGAUUCGAGGGUCGUUAGUGACGUAUCUCCCGUACUUGAAUGAUUUGGACUUGAUUUCUAUAAUUUGAGGGCCGUUAAUUAGUAGCGUAUUUCUUGAAUUGAGAUGAUUUGGAUUUGAUCUCUUUAUUAAUAUUCCAUGAAUUUGUGAAGAAAUUUUCGAGAUUUGAUCUUGGAAUCCCUUGAUCUUAAUGGAUAUUCCAUGAAUUUGGAGAAUAUUUUAGAUGUUGAUCUCUUUAUGAAUUUUUGAGAUGUCUUUUCAAGGGAAUAUAAUACCAUUUGUACAGGCAUGAUGAACUACGAUUUAGAGUUGAGUAACUUUCAAAAAUUUCAAUUGGAAUUGAACACACCUUAUAGAGUCCCAACUCGAAUUGAACAUGUCUCAUAUGCCAUGAAAGUUGCAUGCACAAUAAUCAAAAGGAUUCACAUCUAUAUGUGUAGUAUGCAUCUGCACUCACAAGUGAAGCGAAUCCGAAAACUAAUUUAUCAAAUGUUCAAUAAGUCUUUGAUUUGAUUAAUAUUGAUUGACUCGAUAAUUUAUUGUAAUAUUUUUAUACCUUGCUACAUGUUUGAUUAAAUAAUUUUUUACCAAUAUAGUAAGGAGUAAGGACUAAGAAGUGACAUUUCAUCUGUGGCCGAUUUAUAAUUAAUGUUGAUGAGACUUGGUAUGCAUGAAAUUAAUUUUUGGCCUAUUUAUGAUUAAUGAUGAUGAGACUCAUUCUAAAGGAAAAUUGUGUAUCUCUUUGUUUUAUUACGUGGUGCACAUGUUAAAUAAUUUUAGGAAUAAUUGGUGAAUGAAUGGGUCAUAUUUAAUCUCAAAAUACUUUCAUCGUUUCAAUUUGUUUAUUUUACUUUCUCUUUUACUUUGUUAAAUAAAAUUAUUAACAAUUUUUUAAAUUUUAAUAUUUUACAUGUUAUUUUUAAGACACUGAGAUUAAAAGACAAUUUAAUACAUUGACAUAAUUUUAAUAUAAGACUUUAAAAUUUAAAAAUCUUUUUUUACUUUCUUAAUAUCGUGUCAAAUCAAAAUAAAACAAACAAUUUAUAACGAAGAGAGUAUUUAUUUAUUUUUCAUUUCAUAUUAAUUAUUGUAUUGUUUGUUGUAGUUUCGUUUUGUUAUAUCUCUUACAUUUAUUACUAUUGUUUCUUGUACUUUAAUUAUUACUUCUUUUUUGAAAAUUUUUUGAACAAUUUGUUUAGGUCGAGAGUCUAUUAGAAAUAACUUCUUUUAUCUCUAACGUAGAGACAAGAUCUAUAUAUACUCCAUCCACUUAAUUUUAUUUGCUUGUGUAACAACCGGGUUCCGUUGUUAUAGUAAAGCCAACGGAAAAAAAUUGGGUCGGAAAACUUUUUCGUAGUAAUUGAAAUUUUCCAACCUAGUCCAGAUUUGGACGAAAUCGAAGUCAUUAAGGUGUAGGGAAAUCUGGUAGCAAUCGGGUGAUUUAUUUAUAAUUCUGGUUACAUGAUUGGUUAGAUAACUCGUUAAGGAAUCCGUACGACUUUACGGAAUUGAAUUCAGGCGAGUAGAACUCUCGGAAUCGAUCUUAGCAUGACGGGUAUUUUCUGAGUGUUGUGGGUUAGAGGUGUGUUGUGAAGUGGAAAUUUUGGAAUUAUUAAAAUAGCUCACUGUUUCGUGCAAGCCGCUUUGGCGCUGGAUUUUGUCGCUUUGGCGGGCCAGACGCGACUUAAAGUCGUAAAUAAAUCUCUACAUGACUUUAUUCUGCACUUUUCAAUUUUUAGAGCUAAGGAACGAACCUCAUGCAACUCCUAACAGUUUUUCACCAUUCUUGAUGCUAAAGGUCAGUUUUUCACUCCCCAAACGCGUUUUUUGAUCCGUAUAAUGUAAUAGAAUGGGUAAUUAUCGAUGAGGGAGGGUUUUGAUCUAGAUUCUAUGGUGGAAACAACCCUAUUUGGAUACUUGGGAUCAUGGGUAUGAUCUAGGGUUGUUAGAAUUGUUAGUAAUCCGGGUAAUUAGUGAUUGUUUAUUGAUUCCCGUGUUAUUAUGAUUGUUUGUAGACCAAAAACAAGCGGAACGAAUCCGGAAAGGGAAGGAUCAAGUUUCUUAGGGUUUCAAGCUUGUUUCGAGGUAGGUGAUGAUUGUGUGAUGUAUGUUUGUCUUGCUUCAUUAUGAUACAUGUAUGUAUAUGAAUGUUGCAUUAUUGAUCACACUUGUUGUAAAUGAGAUAGAUGAAUGAUGGUUACCAUGAAAUCAUGACUUAAUUGUAUGAUCUUAAGGAUAUACUUGUGAUUGUGAUUGUGGUGUGUUGAAUGGAUCGGUUGUCACGUUCCGACAUAACUAACUUGGAUCGGUUGCCAUGUUUUGGCAUAAUUAUGGGAUCGGUUGCCACGUUCCGGCAUAAUCAUUGAAUCGGGUACCACGUUCCGAUAUGCUAACUGUUUGGGUUUGGGUUUCCUAAGAGUACCAAUCAUUUGAUAUAAUUGUGUAUCUUGAGAAAUGUGAAGUUGUUCGUUGUUAGUAAAUGUUUGAUAAUAUUGUAUAUGUUCGUUAUAUGCAUGUGAUUAUAUUGUUGUGAUGACUUAUGUAUGUUGCACUUAGUGGGAUAGCACGUGAUCCUACCAGUACACUGUGGUUGUGUAUUGAUAUUGCACUUGCUCUUGUUUUUGUUGAGUACAAGGCAUCUUUAAGCGGCUACUGACAGACCUCGCUUAGGAGAUCAUUGAUCGUCGUUCGAAUUCAAGAGUGAGCCAAUUCUUCCAGGCUGCCAUGAGUUCUCCUUUUAUCUAUGUCCACAUUUUGGACUUAGACAGUUCUAUUAGUUAUUAGUACAUUAGUUGGGGUUGUAUCCCUUCUUGUCUAGACUUGGUUCAUUGUUAGAUAUUUUGAGACAUUGACUUUCAGGUUCUAGGCAUUACUUCCGCAUUGUUAGUUUAUUAUUGUUAGACUUUUGUUAGAGUUUAUGAGAACUCUAUUUCUUUCCUUAGUAUUUUCCUGCUUUUCUGUACUUAAAUGUCUUAGUUUUUGUUUAGUUGCUUGGUUUGAGUUGUAGUAGUGGUUCUCCCACCGGAGGGUUAGUGUGAGUGUCAAUCACGACGGUCUGGAUCGUGACAACUUGAUUUUGAUUUAUAUAACAAAUAUUUAACAGUAAAGAAGAUUCAAGGAAAUGAGAUAAUUGAAACAAUCAAUAAUAUACUCAUAAAUUCUACUAAGAGAAAUAUUUACAAGUAAAGAAACUAUUUUCGAAUAAAGAAAAGUAUAAAUAGAAUAUCUAUUACUUUUUAGUCUAUCCUUUCUUUUCAAGCUAGAAGUUCAAUUUGGAUUAGACCGUGUAUAGUAGACAUAUGCCAACAAUGAACACAUCUUCCAUGAGUUGGAGACAUAUUGGGUCAUUAUUGAAAGGAUAAUAUUUUUUUACUUAUUCGAUAUUUUGAAUAAAUAUAGAUAGUUAUAAGAUAAAUUUUUAGGAUUAUUUUAUUUCUUAUUUAGUUAUUAAUAUUGAUAUAAAUUACAUUAUGUUAUAGUAUUUAAUAUCGGAUGAAAGUCUUUAGAAAAUAAUAUUUCUAAUUUUACGAUGUAAUAGUAAGAUCGGUGUGUAUUUUACCUUUUUCAGAUUCACUUGUGAAAUUUUACUAAAUAUAUUGUUAUGGUAAUUAUUAUCGAAUAAGUUAUUUUUAAUCAAAAAAAUGAAAUAACAAUGUCAGAAUCAGUUAGCUUGAAAUUAAAUAAUGAAAAUGACGAAAUUAUAUCUUUGUGACCAAAAUAAGUACUUCUUAAAAUUAAGCAAUGCAUAUUAUUUUUAAUAUAACAAAUUAAAUAAAUAGUAAAAAAUAUGUAAUUUCAAAUUGAAGUUGUGUUUCUGGAUCAUUUUUGAUGAAUUUUUUUUUAUAUAAAUUAAAUUAUUAACGCAAACAUAUAAAAAAGACAAAAAGAAGAAAGAAAAUAGUAAUGCUUUUGUUAAAAAAUCACAUAACUCUUUUAAUGCCAAACAAGAAAAAAGAAAGAAAAAAAGGAAUUCUUGAUUUUGCCCAUAUUAUUUGUUUUUUUGUGCCCAAAAAAAGAUUAUAAGACGGCCGAAUACGCCUUUGCAAUUUUAAAUAUCUUAUAAUACCAUAACAUUUAUUUCAUACAUAAAUAAAAGAAUAGUAUUCAUCUAAAACAUAUUUCGUAUAAUUUCAUAAAUAAAAUUUAAUAAUAAUAAUAUGUAUUCCCAUUUUUUAAAGAUAGAAAAAACUUCCCAAUUUAAAUAGAAUAUUUCAAAGACAACAUAAUAGUGAAAAGAGAAAAAUAGUAACAAUAAUAAUAAUAAAGUUCUUUUUAAUAAAAAUUACUCCCUUUAGGAAAUCAAAUGCCCACCAAUAAUAUUCAACAGAAAAAUUAAAUAAGUAAUUUUUAAUAAUCUACUAACUUUUUUUAAUUUCCAAAGUAAAAUAAUAUCGAUAUACACUAUAUUUUUAUUUAAAUAAAUAUUCAUAUACCUUUACAUAUAUAUAUAUAUAUAUAUAUAUUAUGUUAUCUAAUAUCAUGUCUUCAAUAAAUUUCGAAUCUAAAAAUAUCAAUCAAUUGAGUAUCGUGAUUGUAUGAACAUAGUAUAUAUAUAUAUGUCUACAAAAACAACAGUUAUAGUAAACGCUGUUGUUUUUUUCCUCUAUUUUCUUUCUCUCUGUACUUUUCUUCUUUCUGUACCAAAAAAAAAAUGAACAGAAACCAUUGAACACUCUAUAAAAAAAAAAGAAAAAAAGGAAGCCAUAGCCAUGGAGUUUCAGGACCACUUUUCUCAAGAAAUGGCUCUUCAUCAACAACAACAGCAACAACAGCAGCAACAAAACGCGGUAUUGCGUUCCAUGUUACCUGAAUCUCCUCAUCACGACGUUCGAAAAUCACCUCCGACUUGGCUCAACACUUCUCUCCUUCGUCAACAACACAGUCAGUUCGCCAACGCAUCCUCAC
RNAcentral lists this long non-coding RNA (62102 nucleotides) under Solanum tuberosum (potato). Its description in RNAcentral is "long non-coding RNA (STUB_LNC006983)". Lineage: Eukaryota; Viridiplantae; Streptophyta; Magnoliopsida; Solanales; Solanaceae. The record is from RNAcentral.